UCAUCCAUUAGCUUUAUAUAUAGAGGACACAUUUUAAGGAAAAGGGAGCGUGGACAAUUUACAUUCGACACUAGCUAGGUUUAAAGGUCUUGCUAAUUAACAGCUACUGAUACCAGGAAAUUUGACACUAAAGUCCAUGUAAAAUCAGGUAUGCACCAUAUUGGGGUUGUAUAGUUAUAAUAUUAGAAGGUGCAUGAGCAUAAGAUGGGGAAAGUUCAAAUGAGAAACGCUGUAAGAUCAUUGCCAAAGCCAUUUUUGCUUCCAUCAUUGCAAAAUUUUGUCCAAUGCACACCCGAGGACCAUAACCAAAUGGAUAGAAGGCAAAUUGGCCCUUUGUUGCCUUAGAAACUCCUUCAGAAAAUCUCUCUGGGUUGAAUUCCUUUGCAUCUUCUCCCCAAAUUUCAUGAUCGUGGUGAAUUAGGAGGAUUGGCAAAGUGAUAAGCGCCCCAUCUGGAAAAUACCAUCCUCCCACUUGACUAUCCGCAACAACAGUUCGAAUGAGCAUAGAUACUGGUGGAUAUAACCUAAGGACCUCAUGAAAAAUAAUUGUAACCUGCAAUAUAGAAAAUAGUUUCAUCAUGAGAAUUCAUAAUUGAAAUACAUUAAAUCACUAAGAAACAUACAUCAAACUAUGAAAGAAUUUUUCAAAUAUAGUUAUGAAAGAGAUUGUUUAAAUUUUUGCAUGACAUAUACUUUCAUGUACAUAUAGGACGAUACAGUAACUGGUGAAUACAAACUAAGAACCCCCUGAAAAUUUAUUACAGCCUAGAGUUCAAAUUUCAAGAAAACACGCUUGACAAGAGGAAAUAUCAAGAUCAUCUUCAGUCUUGUAAGUCUUUGCAUAAAGAUUUCAACACACUUAAUAUCAAGGAAAUUGAUAAUUUCAAACAAGUGCCAACUCAAGUCUAGUUGUCACCAUGAACAUUACCAGAUUUUGUGUCUUCCAUGAUUAUAGGAUCAGUUUCCUAUCUUUGUAAAUAUUGCUUUUAAUUGUGAUUGUAAAUUUACUUUUUUGUUACAUAUUUUUGAAUGCCUAAAAUUAGGCCUCUCUGGUUGUAUAAAGAUAUAGAACAUGAAUAGAAAGUUGUGUAAAUUCUCUUUUAUGGUAUCAGAGCAGAGCCAAACCUCUAACGAGUAUCUUUCCUUUCUUGCUUCCUACGACAUGGCUGCUAUCUCUACAUCUACCACUGAUUCACCUAUCAUCACCAUCAAUGCCGCCACCACCAUCAACGAAAAACUCACCCCCACUACCUUCCCUCAGUGGACAGCUCAAUUUGAAGCCUUGCUCAUUGGAUAUGAUCUCAUUGACUUUGUCACGGGUGUAAAAAAAUGUCCUGCCAUUGAUGCAACAAAUUCCGCUGCCUCCAAAGCCGCGAACUCCCAUUGGGUUCGCCAAGAAAAACUUAUCCUCCAUGCCAUCCUAGCUUCCACCUCCACCACUAUUACCCCUCUUCUUACUGCCUACAAAACAUCCCAUGAGGCUUGGACAAUACUUAACCGUUUAUAUGUGGGAAAAUCACAGACGCGUGCGAUGCAGCUGAAGGAAGAUUUGACCUUGAGCACUCAUGGAACUCGCACUGUCACUGAGUUCCUUCAUGGAAUCAAAGUGAUUGCCGAUGAACUCGCAAUCAUUGAUCAUCCGGUUUCGGAUGAUGAUUUAACCCUCUACAUUCUCAAUGAAUUGGGUCCUGAAUUUAGAGAAAUUGUGACACCCAUUCGUGCUCGUGAGACCUCCCUAAAAUUUGAGGAAAUUCAUGAUCUUCUUGUAGGUCAUGAGAGUUACCUCCAACGGCUGGAAAAUCAAUCGGCAGCAACAUUUGUUCCCACCGCUCAUUACUCUCAUCGACAAGGAGGUGCUUCUAGACAACAUAAACCGAGCCCUAAGUCUUCCUCCAACAAGACUCGCAACAACAAUGAGCAUCACAAAAAUGGGCCCUCCAAUUCGGGCCAUAGGAAAUUUAAACUAAAAUGCCAAUGGUGUGAUCAAAUGGGCUAUACGGCCAAAAAUUGCCCAAAAAUGUCUUCCGAUGACUUUACUGCAAAUUGUGCAACAUCCUCCCAAGGAAAAAAUCACAAGUGGCUAAUUGACUCGGCGACAUAUCACAAUAUGAUAACCGGCCUCUCUAAUCUGUCGAUUAAUUCUGAAUAUGAUGGUACCGAUGAGGUGGUAAUUGGUGAUGGAUCAGGUUUGCCUGUGUCUCAUAUUGGUUCAUUAUCUCUUGCAUCAUCUAAUCGUGUCUUUCAUUUACGUGAUACCCUUUGUGUUCCCACAAUUCAAAAAAAAAUCUUAUUUCUGUUCACUACUUUACCCAGCAUAAUAAUAUUUACCUUGAAUUUCAUCCUACUUAUUUUUUAGUGAAGGAUCAUAUCACGGGGGCGAUACUACUCAAAGGCAAAUGUGAAGAUGGAGUGUACCCACUUCCGGAGCAUCUACCACCAAACUCCAAAAAUGUCGUUGCCUAUGUUCAUGAAUCUACACCCGAUGGAUGGCACAAAUGACUUGAUCAUCCAUCGUAAAAAUGGCUUAACCAUUUAAUUCAUGUUUUUUCUUUACCCACCAAUAAAAAUGGCCAUUUAUCUCUUUGUACUCCAUGUUCUCAAAAUAAAGCUCAUCGCCAAACUUUUAAUACUCAUGGUCUUACUAGCACUGAUCCCAUGGAAUUGAUUUACAUGGAUGUUUGGGGUCCAUCUCAUGAUAUUGGUAUUAAUGGUUCAAAAUAUUAUGUUAUUUUUGUUGACCACUAUACUAAGUACAUUUAGCUUUAUCCCAUGACUCAUAAAUCAAAUGUUCAAACAAAUUUUCUGCAAUUUCGAAAUCUUGUGGAAAAUAAGUUCAACACAAAAAUAAAAAGUCUCUACUCCGAUAAUGGUGGGGAAUAUAUUGGCCUCAAAUCCUAUCUUUCCAUUCAUGGGAUUAGUCAUUACACAACUGCUCCACACACUCCACAACAAAAUGGUAUGUCUGAAAGACGACAUUGCCAUCUAGUUGAGAUUGGUCUCACCUUACUCAUGGAUGCUCACAUGCCUCUCUCAUAUUGGCCAUAUGCGUUUCAAACUGCUGCCUAUCUUAUAAAUUGAAUGCCCACCUCGACUUUGAACAAUAAAUCUCUGUUUGAAAAAUUGUUCAAACAGAUGACAAAUUAUCUCAAGCUCAAACAAUUUGGUUUCCUAUGUUAUCCAUUAACUAGGCCUUAUAACAAACACAAACUUGAGCCCAAGGCCCAACCAUGCACAUUCGUAGGUUACAGCCUCUCCCAAAACGCAUAUCUAUGUUUUGAGCCCACUACCCGAAAGCUUUUCACUUCUUGGCAUGUCAUAUUUCACGAAGGGACUUUCCCUUUUUCAAAACCUAAAAAUCCCAGCUCUCUUUCAUCUGCUGCCGAAGACCCGCCUAUCACGAUCUCGUUGUCGCAACUCCUCUUGGUUCCACGCGGCACUACUGAAUCUCCGAACGUGGGUACUGAAGUCUUGCCAUCACUUAAGGAUGGGUCAUCCCUUGCACCGACUUCUCUAUAGGUAAGUACUCUCUCUUCUUCUCCCUUGAUUUCGAGCCCACUCCCUUCAGUAGAAGUGCAUGACCUUGUUGUCUCUAAUAAUGAAGUGCGCACCCACCGAAUGACUACCCGAUCCAUGAAUGAUAUCUAUAAGCCAAAAAAAUUGUUUCUUGUCACUAAACACCCUCUUCCAUCCUCCUUGGAACCCACUAGCGUUACUGAAGCACUCACUGAUUCCCGAUGGCGUGACGCCAUGUCUUCUGAAUUGACUGCGUUAAUGCAUCACAAUACAUGGCAAUUCGUACCACCUCCAAAUGAUUGUAAUAUUGUUGAUUGUAAGUGGGUGUUUUAGAUUAAGAGACAUGUUGAUGGAUCUGUUGAUCGGUUCAAGGCUAGACUUGUGGCCAAAGGAUUCAAUCAGAGACCAAGACUAGAUUACAAAGAAAAAUUUAGUCAUGUUGUCAAACCAGUCACAAUACGCAUUGUCUUAACUUUUGUUGUUAUGCAAGAUUGGUCUCUAAGGCAAUUAGAUGUCAAUAAUGCCUUUCUUCAUGGGCAUCUCACAAAAAAAGUGUAUAUGAAGCAACCACCUGGCUUCAGGAGUCCGGAAAAACCAUAUCAUGUUUACUGCCUUACAAAGGCAAUCUAUGGACUAAAACAAGCACCUCGUGCUUGGUACUCUGCUCUCAAACAGGCACUGUUAGAAUUUGGUUUCAUCAAUGCUAAAUCUGAAUUUUCUCUAUUUGUGUUUCAUGAUGGCUCCAUACUUGCCUAUUGCUUAGUUUAUGUCGAUGAUUUGAUUCUCACUGGCAACAAUUCAACUUUUGUUGCAAUCAUUAUUGAUCAACUUGGACAAAAAUUCUCCAUCAAAGACUUGGGGUCCCUACAUUUUUUCCUCGAUGUUGAGGUCAUUCCUACCAAAGACGACUUGUUUCUAACUUAGCAUAAGUAUAUCCGAGAUAUCCUUGCCAAGACAAGUAUGGAUGGAGCUAAGGAUGUCACAACUCCUCUCUCUACAUCGGUUUCUCUACAAUUGGCAGAUGGUUCGCCAUCCGUUGAUUCAAUCGAAUAUCGUAGAGUGGUUGGAGCAUUGCAAUACUUGUCCUUAACUCGACCUGAUAUAAGCUUUGUUGUCAACAAACUCUCACAGUUUAUGCAUUGCCCCACACAAACUCACUGGACAGCAACUAAAAGACUAUUGCGAUACUUGAAGAACACCGUUUUUCAUGGCAUUAAUAUCAUAAAAACCUCAAGCCCAACAUUCACAUGCUUCUCAGAUGCUGAUUGGGCUGGCAGCUUGCAUGAUAGAAAAUCAACUUCAGCUUAUGUCCUCUUCCUUGGUCACACACCCAUUUCAUGGAGCUCUAAAAAGCAACGUGCAAUUGCACGGUCAUCAACUGAAGUUGAGCAUAAGGCUUUAGCAACGGCUGCAGCAGAGUCCAUGUUGCUGCUAUCUCUAUUCCAAGAAAUGAAGUUUACAUUACCACAGCCACCUCUACUCUUGUGUGAUAAUUUGGGUGCAACCCAGCUGAGUUUUAAUCCUGUCCAGCAUUCAAGGAUGAAGCAUAUCUAGAUAGACAUUCACUUUGUGCGAGAUUUGGUUGAAAAAAAUUUCUUAAUGUUCGGCAUGUUCUCUCUAAUGACCAGCUCACUGAUUUACUCACAAAGCCACUUUCCAGACAAAGGACAGACUAUCUACGGGACAAGAUCGGACUAUCCGAUGGUAGCCUGUUCUUGCAGGGACAUAUCAAGGAAACUGAUAAUUUCAAACAAGUGCCAACUCAAGUCUAGUUGUCACCAUGAACAUUACCAGAUUUUGUGCCUUCCAUGAUUAUAGGAUCCAUUUCCUAUUUUGUAAAUAUUGCUUUUAAUUGUGAUUGUAAAUUUACUUUUCUGUUACAUAUUUUUGAAUGCCUAAAAUUAGGCCUCUCGGGUUGUAUAAAGAUAUAGAACAUGAAUAGAAAGUUGUGUGAAUUCUCUUUUACUUAAAACAACCUAACCACCAAAUAAAGAUCUCAUACAUGGAAAAGAAGAGCCCGCCUCUUCUUCUUCAGUAAAGUCCACCUCUUUUUUGCCAGUGCUGAUGCAGUGUGCACUUAGAUAAGGAAAGAAAAAUUCCAGUGGGGAUACCAAGUAUUUGCAUAUAGCUUUCAAUUAAAGCAAGAAAGAUACAAAAACAAAACAUAUUUUGCCUCAAGAUUGAAAGAAAAAAAAAAGAGAAAAAAAAAGUACUAUAUUAUUUUCAAGGAGAGUUACUAAACUGCAUAUAUAUUGGAUUGAUACUCACAAUUUUGAGGUGAUUUAAGCCAUCGCCAUCUGGUUUUUUAUUGCCAAAAACUUGUAAAACCUCUUCUCUUGCACGAGCUUGCCAGUUUGAAUGCUUGCUUAAUAGAACCAUAGUCCACAGAAGUAAAUCCGAGGUAGUCUCUUGGCCAGCAAAGUAGAAUAGCUUACACUCCUCGAUGACAUCUUUGAUGCUCAUUCCAACAUUCUUCCUCUCAUCAUGUUCUUGCAUUUCUCUGAAGUUGGAUUCCAUUAGUAGACUUAAUAAAUCAUCAUUAGCAGUUUCACCAACCUUCAUUGCCUUCUCUCUUCUCUCGAUGAUACCUUUUAACAAUGCAUGGACUUCAUUGCUAAUUUGCCUCAUUCUCUUGUUUGUCUUUGUUGGAACAAACCUGUUUGGAAGCAAUCCUAGGGAAUGAAGAUCAACGAAAUACAGGAAGCAACUAAUGCAUUUUCAUCAAUGACUUUUUACUUGUUCAAUUUUUCAGAAUAUCUAGGUGUUUCAAAGAUGAAACUAGCCAGACAUUAAUUGAUUUUUAUUUUUUUUGGGUACCAUGGAAGUUAGCAUGUAACAAUGUAUGUGAAAUUUGGUAAUGGUACUGAGCUUCAUAUUUCUUGAAAUAUUUUUUGCUUACCUCCAUCCAGGAAUAUAAACUGACCGGAAAACCUUGACUGCAAGAUGUGCUUGCUCUUUCUGGAGUUGGAAUAUCCUUCUUCCUUCCUCAUAGCUACUACCAAAUGCUGUUCUAGAAAUCGCAUCUCCUGCCAAAUUUUCAAGAUCGGGCCAAAUGUCCAAUUCACAUGAGCCGUCCUUGGAGAGCUUCUUCUCCCAUUUAUUUACCAUGUCACUACAACUCAAUUGGAAUGCGGGUACCAUGUGCUAUAACAAAUUCAAAUCCAAACAUAAUUAAUAAAUUUAAAAGCCCAGAAUCUGAUUUCAAGGUACAUGGAAUAUUAUUAAACAUUGGAGUUUCUAAAUUGGCUUAAAAUGAUUGACUAGGUUUACUGCGACAUAAAUUUUCAAUAAACUUAGAAAAGAAAUUUUGAUUUGAUUAGGAUUUAGAGAGUGACAGAGCAGAGGUGGAAUGAAGAAUAGUCAGUCCUCACAUUUGCACAUUGGGUUAUUGUCUGGAGAACUUAUAAACUUCAAAAAAUGCACAUGCACAGAAGUUCUCAUGCAUAAGAAAAAAGAUUUCCAGAGGCAGUAAAAUUGUAAUAUCUUUAUUAAAAUUAUGAAGAACAUUAAAAAAAUUAUUUUCUUUCCUAUUAGAAGAGGGCUAUGCAGGGAAACCAGACAACAAGUUGAGGUAUGGCUGCAUAACCAAAAAAAUAGUGCCUCGAAAAGUUAAUCAUAUCCAUCCUUCAAUGUAUUUAUAAGGGAAAUAUAAUUCAAUCCCAGAGGAAAUAUCGUUUGUAAAUAUGUAACCAUUAUUCUGCUCUCACAAUUUCUAAAAACAUAAAGAAAGAAUGGGAAUUAGGGUCACGUUUUUGGUUGGAAAAUUAGCAUCAUAAAAUUACCUUCAACUUUUCUAGAUGGAAAGCUGGGUUUAUGAUCUUUCUACGUUUAGUCCAUUGUUCACCUUCCAAUGUAACAAGACCAGUAGCCAGCAGCUUGCCAAGCGGGUGCGGAGGUGGUUUGCGAAAGGCAUUGUACUUCAAGAAAACAUCCCUUAUCAGCUCAGGGUCCAUAAUGUUUACCACUGGUUUUGGGCCCAUCCAUAUAAAAUAAUUUUUACCUGCAUUUUUAAUGGUCAUUGUUGGAUAUAGAAAUGUUACAAGAGGAUCUAAAGGACCCGGCUAGUCAAGGCCCUCUGAUUAAAGAAUCCUUAAAUAUGUGAAAAAGAUAAAACAGAUGUAGUUAAUGUGGGCAUCCGGGUGUAGCCGGGUAGGCAACCCAUCCCAAGUAGUGUCAACCCGGAUGCUCCCAUCUAACCAAAGCUAUCCGGGUAGUUAGACACCAUAAAUGGAUGUCUGUUAUGCGCCAUCCGACCAUACCAUUUGAAUCACUGCACUACUUAAUUCAAAUGGUUCUGGUUUUCCCCAGCUUACACAAAGUUUAUAUAUAUACACUACCUUGUGUCUGUAGUCAUCAGUGCUUUCCUCAAUUCAAGGUUAGAUGAAAAUGUAAAUGAACCAUAACUAUGUAGCCCUAUUCCUAAUAGAUUGACCACAAAAUAGCAUAUCCAAAUUAUAAGAAAGGCCACAGAAGCCACAAUUUCAGAAUUUGCGAUUUAUGCGCCAUCGGUCAAUGCUACGAGAUUAAAUGCAGACAUAAAAAGAGGUCAUAAUAGCGAAAAGGAGGUUACAAAGUCAAAGCCUAUAUAACAGCAGAGGAACAAGAAUUAGAGAUGCGUAACUUCUUCCCCAAAAAUUCAUUCAGUAAAAAUCCUUUAAGCUAACUUGGCCAUUAGAGAGGUCUGUCUGAAACACAUCCAGACAUGCCUUUUUUUAACAGAAUAUAGGAGAACAGAGGGGCUGGAGUAGCUGCCCAGAGGGUAUGUGUUGAGCAGGAACCAACAGUUAAUAGACUCGUAAAGCUAAAGUAAAGUUUCUUAAUGGUUCUCAAUAAGAGGCACUAGCAGCUGCAGCCUAGAGAAUACCAUUACCAUAUAACAUGUUCAAAUCACUUCCGGCCAAUACCAUAUGGCAUGCUCAAACAACUAAGUAGUUACUAUGUUCGAAGCUAGCCCAAAUUCAAUUUUUACUUCCCAAAAUCCCCUAGAUUCUUUGGUUGCAGCCUUGAUGUGAAAUAACUAAACCAGGUUAGUUAAGGGUAUGUUUGGUAUACCAAAUGGAGGUGAAAGAAAAUAACAAUGAAGAUGGGUAAGAUUUAAGACUAAUAUUGAAUAGAUGUUUUUUACCGAAACUGAAGGGAAGGAAGUGAAAUUAACAUUUAAAUAUGUUCUCAAUUACUAUCUUUUCUCAGUCACAUUUGCAUCACAUCGCUUCAACAAAUUUGUGUUUCAAAUAUUAAAAUUUUAUAUAAUAAAUAUGAGAGUAAAUGUAUAAUGAUAAAUAUUCUGGUAAUGAUCUUUUAUAUACCAUUCAACUUUGAGGAGAGACAGAUUAGGAGCUCUCACAAGAAAGUUUCUAAUAUUUGAAUGGUUUAAGCUGCCAUAAGUUUGAGCUUGUGGAUAUGCCAUUUACGCCACUCUUGCAUAUGCAUCAAGAAAGAGCUCCAAUUGCUAUCUAUAUGCAAUUCAACAUUGGUUUAACUAUGAAAAGUCAAAAGUUCAUGCAAAAUUUGAAAAGAUGUGAAAAGAUAAUUAAGGAAAAAAUUUUAGAGGUACCAUUGAAAUUUCAUUGAGCUGUAAAUUCUUUCAGAAAAUUAAUUAAAAAGAAGAAGAAGAAGAAGAAGAAGAAGAAGAAGAAGAAACGGCAGGAAAGAUCAUUAGGGUUCAGGAAAGACAAUUUGGGGAAAAAAAAAAUCACAAAGGAAUGACAAGCUUUCGUUUUUCUAUCCUUUCUAAACCUAACAGAUAUGGCAUUUACGCAACUCUUUCAUGUGUAUCAAGAAAGAGCUCCAAUUGCUAUCUAAGAAGAAGAAGAAGAAAUCAGAUAGAAGAAACGGCAGGAACGACAGGAAAGAUAAUUAGGGAAAUAAAAAAUAAAAAAAUCAGAAAACCGGCUAUAGUACCAUAUUUCUUGAUGGAAUGACAAUGGAAGGGGAGAACUCGCUGCACAAUAUCAUCGGAUAAGCUGAUGGAUCUUGAAUUUGCUUCGCUGAUCAUCCUUAACAUCUCUCUAAAAUCCCCAUGUAACAAUCUGUAGGAAUUUCCCGUCAGACCUUGCUGCCUAAGACACCUUUCUAGCUUCUUUGGUCUCAACCACACCCAAUUCAAUAAUCUCCAUGCAUAUAUUAGGAGAGUAAUAAAAGCAAAGGAAAUUGCAACUGAGCUAAGCUUCAUUUCCAGUUUGGAAGAGACUUCCAGGAGUGCUCUGUGAAUUGCUUCACAGUUGAGAAAAUCAAUUUAGAUGAGUAGCCCCACCACUUCUUAUCCUGUCGGAUUAGGUGGCAAGGAAUUAGUGGCCGACUCUAUAAGACACUUUUAUUUCCUCAAGAUAAGGACACGUGUGAUCGUUUUAAAGUCAAUAGUCUUUUUAACUUCUCAAUGAUUAACUACUAGAAUCCUAGUUUUUUUUUUUUUUUUUUAAUUAUUAUUAUUAUUAUUAUUUUGGCAUGAAUUUAUUUUAUGGAAAAAAAUAAAAAAAAUAGAUUUUUGUAAUAAUUUUUGUAUGAUAAAAAAGGUAUUUUAGGGAUAAAAUUAUUAUUUAUAGUAAAAAAUCAUGUUUAACCGUAUAAUGUAUUUGUGACAAAAAAAACAAUUCAUAAUAUUUUAGCAUAAAUCUUAUAUUCAUAAUAAAAAUUAAAUUUAAUUACAAUAUCAAUCUAUGACAUAUAGUUUCUAUAAAAUCUUGUCAUAAAUUUUUUUUUAUGGCAAAUGAUUUUUACUAGAUAAAUAUUUAACAUAUAUUUUUUUAAUGAAUUUAUAUUUUAUAAUUUUAAAUUCAAUAUGGUAAAAAAUGAAUAAUUUUUAUAUUUAUAAAUUUAAAUUCAACAUGGUAAAAAAUAAAUAAUUUUAAUAUCAUAAAUAAAUAAAUUUAAAUUUAUUUAUUAUAUAUUAGUUAGUAAUAUAUAUAUAUUAUUUAUUUUAAAAAUAAAAUAUAAGCAUGGCAUAGCAUGUCACAUUGAAUUAGAUGCAUAGAUUUUUAUUUUAUUUUUUGAAAAAUCAAUUUUAAAUUUUAUAGAUGAAUAAUAAAUAAUUUUUCUUAUUAUUAGAAUGAUUAGAAAAUUCAAUAAACAAAAUUAGUCAAACAAAUUAAGAAUAAAAGAAAAUACUAUACAAUAAAAUAAAUAAAUUUGAUUGAAUAAUGCUAAAAUGAGGAUAUCACAACAAAUAAAGAGGGUUAUGAGGGCAAAACUUGAGAAACAAAUCCAGAAAACCAAAAACAUGGAGCACUUUCAAGGACCCUACCCAUUUCCCUUUUCUUGCAAUUUACCAACAACCAAACAUGAGCAAGCUCCACCUCUCCGACAUCAAAUGAUUUGAUUUCUAACCUCAAUCGACAAUUACGGAGGUCAAUCUAUCUCUUAUUCUUUUUUUUCUUUUUUUUUUUUUUUAUUUGCUAGCCUCCACUGAUUGUUCACUUGGAUUUUAUUCAAAUCCAAAGAUUUAAUGUUUUUUUUUCAUCAUUUUUGAGGUAUUUUUAAUUUUUGUUUGGUUAAGUUAAGGUUAUUUGCUUUCAAAUUUCAAUGUGAAUAUCAAUUGUUGCAUUUUUGUUGAUUUCAAUAUGAGUAUCAUAAUACCUCUAUUUCACCUCUACUCGUCCAAUUAUUGGGCUCCUUUUGUUUGAAGAAAUGCAUCUUACAACUAAUUAAUUUCAAUAUGAUUUCAAGUUUUAAGAGAUGUGGUUGUAUGGAAUUCCCUAAGCUCAAGCCUUCCCAUGCUUCUUGCAACUCUCUCUCUUGUUUCUCUAUGAGAUACAUAAUAUUUAACCUAGUAGUCUGUGUUGCUAAGCAACAACCAUUUUUUCGCUUUCAAAUUUUGAUUUAUGUUUAACCAGAAUUUGGUCCAAACCACCUGCAUUCUCUAAACUUCUGGUUCAUGCCAUUUCUCUUCACCUUCAGCACUUCUUCCUUGAAACUAAGCCUCAUUUUCCAAACCACCUGCAUUCACUUUCAAGAUAUAUGCUUUACUAGAACUUUGUUCAAACUCUUGAAAUUUGCAAUGUUGUACAUUGCUUUCAUGUUUUACCUCUUGAUAUUUUCAUAUUCAGUCGACUCACAAAGCUCACCUAAACACUCGUUUGUAUCCUAUGGCAGAAAUUUUAUUUUGAUUUCCUCUUUCUAUGUAUUGAACUUUGUAUCAACUUCCUUGUUAAGUCAAUAUUUUCUUUCCCACUAACAUUUUCUCCAAAAUGUUUGAUUAAACUAAAUGAAUAGUUCUUAUUCAGUGUAACCAUUCCUCCUCCUUCAAUUGGGUCGAUUUUUCUUUUGUUCUUUACUUCUUGGACCUCUCUUUCAAGUCUUGAAACAUGUUUCGAUAGAAGCUUAUCCAAGCUAUGAACAUCUAGAACACGUUCUAUUUUACUCAAUUUUUCCUAUGCAAGCCUAUAUUUUCUUCAGAUUGUGUGACUGGAGUAAAUAAAUCAAUUUUCUUUUUCAAUGUACCCAUAUUGCCUCCUUCGAUUAGGUUAUUUUUUUUACUUUUGCUCUUUACUUCUUAGACCUCUCUUUCAAGUCUAGAGACAUGUUUCACCAUAAACUUAUCUAGAAAAUAUUUCACAAAUAUCUGAGUUUCCUUCUAGUUGUUAGUUUUUCAGGUGUAUCAAUUUAGGAUGUUGUUAGGGCUCUACUUUUUGAGGUUGGUUAGAGCAUUGUGUCGAUGAUUUCCCCCCCUUGUCUAAGCUAAAUAGAUACACAUAUUUGAUUCAACAUAUUGUUAAGAUAACAAAGAUUGCAAGAGACCCAUCGAUAUCCAAAAAGUAGAAAGUCUACGUGAACUAGUGGAAAAUACAAAACAAAAAACUUUGUUAGACUAUGGAAACUAAAUGCUAUUGAGUGAUGUUAUUAAGUGCAAUAACAUAGUUAGUUGCAUAUUAAUAAUCAUAAUAAAUUGUUUGUUGAAUUAAACGAAUUAGCUAACAUGGAAAAUCUUUGGAAUUCUUCUCUCAUGUAAGACUUUGUCAGAUUUUAAGUUACAUGAUGUCUACAACACUCAUUCAAGGAAAACAAAUAACAAGAAGAACAAUAACAACUACUAUUUCUACUGCUACUAGACAUAAUUGAUAUAGCUUCUAGUUUCCUCUCUAAAAACUGAAAACUAGAAAUCUUUUUCUAUUUUACCUAUUUUGGAAAUAUUAACAAGUUUAUAAUUGUAUGAAGUUAUAAAAAAUGUUUGGUUAUCAUAUAGAAUUCCAAUGAAAUGAUGAUUGAGGAGUUCAUUAUGCUAGUGAGGAUGACUACCAUGUUAGGGUUGAGUCCCUAAAAGUAAGAUAUGAUGUAACAAAGUUAGACUUAACUAUCCCCUUGCUAUCUCUUUGGUGUAUUGACAUUGAUUUGAGUAUUUAGACCAUGACUCUUACAUUGUACAUAACUUGUGUGCAUUAGGAGUUGCACAGAAGAUACAAGUCAUAGGCUCCUUGUAAGUAGAUAAGUUGUUCACAAUUUGUUCAUAGAUUUAAGCAAUCUAGUAAAGGUUAUAGUGCAUUACCUCCUAAUUGGAGGGAUGGCUUGUCUUAGUCGUCGGGAUGGGUUUCCCAUGGUAAGUGCAUUAGUGUAUGUGAUGCACUAGACGGGACCUAUGGUAAAUCAUCACGCAAGGAUAUCAAUUGUCAUGAUUCUCUAAGCUACUAUAUUGCAUGGACUCUUAACCAUAAAAGGAUAUUGAGUCUAUGCCAAAAUCAAUAGGAGACUUUAACCUAUGGAUGAGAUUCUAAAGUGGUCAUAUAUCACUAUGGAUUGGGUCACUAUUGAUAGAAGUUAGUGGCAACAUGUAUUCUUAAUAGAGGCACCAUGAUAUCUCAUGGGAUUGAGACAAUGUGUCCCCUUGAGUGAUCCAAAGCACAUGUGAUCAUGAAAUCUCUAGCCACAAUAAUUCCUUUAGUAGAAUUUGACAUAUGCUCUUUAGAGCUAGAGUACUUCACAUAAUAAGUGUGAUAUGUAACUCAAGGAUUUGAGAGGAAAUCUUGAUAAGUGAUAAUACUACCUUGUUAGAUUACGGAUACCAAUUCAUGAGGAGUUUGCAUGUAGUGGAUAGUAGGUCAUAGACUCGAGCACUUGGUGUCUUGUUGUAAUAUACAUAAGGUACUAGAGUGUAGUUGAUUCUCUAUAGUGGUUGAGUCAAUUUCAAAUUUUGAUUUUAGGGGAGCUAAUACUCUUAUUAGUCCCAAUGGUCCUCGAUCCGAGCUUAUAUUCCUUGAUGACAUGGUUUAUAAGGGUUUGAUGAGUUUUAGUUCACUUUUGUGCAUAAGAGCAUUUUGGUAAUUACACAAGGUUGCAUAGAGAUAAGUGAGUUAUAUUGCUGAAGUAGGUUAAUUGAUUAAUUAGGGCUUUGUAUGGUUAAUUAAUCAAUUAGUAACCUUUUUAAGCUAAAUUAAGUGACUCAAGCCCAUAGUGAGCUUAAGUCACUUAAGUCUAGUAAGAAGCUUAUAAAUACCCCUAUAAGGGACAUCUCAAUGGUGGAGAUCAUGGUGUUUACGAGAUCUAUUAUGACUUUGGAGUUAUCUACAUUGAUUGGAAUUGAUUCAGGAACAUCCAGAUCAAAUAUAUGUGGCUUUAUUAUCUAGAUCUAUGAUUUUUUUAGUAUCCAUAUUGUUUUUUAAUACCUGUUUAUUCAUUGUGAUAAAUUUGGAGGGCCUAUGAUAAAUUUGUAUGCACCCUUUGUGAUCCAAGGCAUGGGAAUAAAGGGGUUCCCAACAAUUGGUAUCAAAGCCCUAGGGUAGGUUUUAGCAUGUUAGAUAUGUUCUAGGGUGUGCUAACUUUGUUCUGUAGGGUUGUUUUAUUCAUCCCAUGACCCUAAAGGAUGAAUGAAUGAAAUGUUUUUUAUCAUUCAAUUAAAUGUAUCAAUAUAUUUGGAUUGAUUGGUUAUAAUUGUGAUAUCAUCUAUGCCUUUUGGUUCUCUAGAUUAGGUUGUACACCCCAUAAAGGGUAUAAGAUUUUUAGUUGGUUGUAAAAAAAAUUUCUGUUCAAUAGAUGGGUUGUAAGCUUCUUUAUAAGAGCAUAGAAAUUUUCAAUAUUGUAAAAAUUUUAGCUUUUUGUAUCCAUCCAUGGUGACCCAAGAGAAAAGAAAGAAUCUUGAAAGUUCUUUUUCAAAUUCUAUGUUUAAAGAAGAAAGAAGGAUUCUUAGAAGUUCUUGUUUUGAGAUCUAUACUCAAAAUCAGAACUAUCUCCCAUUAGUUUCUUGGGGCAAGCCAUAUAUGGAUUUGAAUAUUAGGAAGUCAUGAAUCCAAUAGUUUAAGUGGAUUUCAAUUUGGAGUUGAAAUGAGGAAGAUAUGGCCGAUUGAAGCAAGGCUACGCAAAGUGCAUGGUAGCACAGUGACAUCAAAUUUGAGCCAAAAUCGGGACCACUUACACUAGAUUUUUCAAGGAAAAUCACCUAUGGUUUUUAAUCUUAGGAAGUUAGAAACCUAAUGCUUCAAACGGAUGACAAUUUGAAGUUGAAACAAGGGAGAUAUGGUUAAUUGAAGUAAUACUGCACAAAGAGCAUGGUGUUAUGGGAUUGCAUAUAAGUCCAAUUCCUUUCAAUUGUUUGGGCUAAAUCUGGGGCCUUUCCUUUUGGGCUUAAUUUGGUGGUAAUAAGGUAUUUUGGGUUUUCAAUUUUACUAACCCUAUCUUUGGUUCUAGGGCUAUUUUUGGUAAUUUGGAUUUUAUCCAAAUUUUAAUUACCAAAUAUGCAACAAGAUCCCUAAAGGCCAUGAGAAAAGUUUCAAUUUGUUUAUUCCUUUGUUUUUUUAUUAUAUGCACUUUAUUAAUUGCAUAUGUGGCCUCAAGAUAUUUUGGUAUUCUUAAUUGGAAAUAAAUUUUCAUGAUUUUUUCAAAAUUGAAAAACUUAUUUAAAUUGGAAUGUGCAUGGUUAGGAAAUUUUAUUUCAAAGAAAAGAUAAGUUGGAAAACGAUUAAGGGCUUUACCUUUUUAAAAUUAAUUCUUAGAGAUUUUAAUUUUAUUUAAAAUCUUCUCAAAUCUUUGAGAUCUCUAAGAAUAAAAAUUUUCUUUUAUGGAAAAGCUUUUAUAUUUCCAAAUCUAUAUAAAAUAAUAUUUUCCUAUUUCGCACAAGAUUCCGAUUUAAAAAAAAUAAGUUAAUUUUGAAAAUUCAUGAUAGAUAAUUUAUAAUUAAGUAUGGUUACCAAAAUAAGUAUUAGAACCCAAAAAAAGGUUUUUGGUAUUCUUAGUAAAUUUUCAUGAGAAGAUAUUUUCCAAGACUAUCUAUUUAAACUGGUUGUUGCUAAGAAGAUUGUUAUUUCUUUAUAACUAUUUGUUUAUUAAACUUUAGUAGGUUUUCCUGUUCUUUCUUAGUGAGAAAAGGAAAACUAUGCUUAUAGUUGGUCCUCCAGGCUCUCCCCCUAGAGAGAAGAAGGAAAUUAUUCUAUUUUGAUAGUUUAAUGAUAAGGAAUAAGAGAGUAAUUCUUUUUGCACAAGAGUCUCGGUUUAAAGAUAAAUAAUGGAUUUAGAAAAUCCCGUGAUAGAGAAUUUAUGAUGAGAAGGGUUAGCAAAAUAACUUUGAAAAGUUUUAGUAAUUCAAUAGAGAUAAAAAAAUAUUUUGAAAAAUACUUUCCAUAAUGGAUUGUUUAAUUCCUUUUUGGACAUAACCAUUUUUUAGAGUUUUUAAUAGAGAAUAUUUUAUCCAUUAGGGAAUUACUAAAAGGUUCUAUUUUUGGUAGUAUUUAAUGGAAUAAAUUAUUAUGAAAUCUCAUUCAAAUAUUUAUUAAGUUGGAAAAGUGUAAGGAAUAAGGAAAGUAAAUCUUAUGAGGAUUUUUGAAUAUGAGAAACAAAAGUUCCUUUAUUGGAUAAGGUGCUCUCAAGAUUAUUCAAAAUCUUAUAAAUUGGUAAUUUUCUUAUUACGCAAGAGUUUCCAAUUUGGAAAAGAAAUAGUUUGAAAAUUUUCAUUAGAGACAAUUUAUCAUUAAAAGAUUAUUACCAAAAGGCUUAGUAAUUUAAUGGAAAUAAAUUUCUUUGAAACAUUUCUUAGAUAAAAUAUUUAUUAAUUGGAAUUGUGUAUAAAAGGAGAAUUUUAUGAAAAUAGACUUUAAAAUUUUGAGAAUGGAUAUUUUAUCAAAAUUCUUUUUGAAAAUUACUUUCAUGGAAAUUUAAAAUUUUUCAUGUUGGUAUUCUCCUUUUACACUAGGUUUCCUAUUACGAAAUAAUUAUUUUUUGAAAAUCUCAAAGUAGAUAAUUUAUUCAUUAGAGAAAUUACUAAUGGUUUUAAAAUGCUCUUAUUUGUCAAAGAUUAAGUGGAAAAGGGCCUUAGGCAAGCCCACAACCUCCAUUGUCGAGCCCAUCUUGAUUUGGGUUCAUCACCACCCCAUUGGCGAGUUGGGACCUAGGAAUCAAAGGAUAUAGACUCUUCAUUAGGAUGAAACUAGACAUGUCUAUAGUGGGAGCAACCACCCCACCGGUGGGGUUCCUUACUUGCUAACAUUGAUAGUUCAAGGACAAUGGUUAUACACUUAUCAUUGGUUUUGAAGUGGUCGAAUCACCUACUACGGUCCCACUUGCAUAGUCCAUAGGCCAAAUAAAAGGUAUGUUGAUCUUGUCUUUAAAUACCUUUCAUGGUUAAGACAAGGAGAUAAAUCUAAGAGGGUCUCUAACUAGGAAUAAGGUCAUGACCUACCCACUGUAGGCUUGAUUCUUAUGAUACAAGGAUACCUUGCAAAAAGAUAAGUAGUUUGAGAGCACUACAUUUUUGCUAAAUUAAUUACUAGAUGCCUUGAAUGCUUAAUUAUGUCAUAUGCUUGGUUAUAUUCUUUGUUAUAGGUAUCAUGUUGGUUUUAUUGUCACUCUCUUUCUGAUAAUAGACCAAGCCCAACUAAUCAUUUAAAUUAAUUUUAUUCUGGAUAUUGUAAGUAACUGCAUAGAAGCUAGUUUAGGAACAGUUAGUGAUUCCUUAUAAACUAACCGAACAAAAGGAAAGAUUGGUAUACCAAGGAGGUAUUAGAUAGAUCAGAAGACCAAGUGUCUAAUACUUGGAUCUUUGGAUAAUGUGUUGCAAUAAUAACUCAUGUCUAUUAUUAGGGACUUUGAUAUUCUUUUUCUAGUUUGCAAUGGUUAUUUCAUGAUAAGGGUAGGUUAGCUUUGAUAAGCUACUUUUAAGACUAGUAGGAACACCAGCAUUCAUAUGAUCUAAGAGACCUUGCCAUUUUCCUUUGGGAUGGCUAAGAGAAUUCUCAAAGAUUAUAGGGUGAUCAUAUGGAAGUCAAAGAUUCUUCAAGUUCUUAUCUCAAGAAGAAGAAAAAUAAUACCAAAUAAGGAAAGUUCAAGAGAAUGAAUAAGAAAGCAAGCUCAAGGGCAAGUGAUUCAUUUGAGACCUUUUAGGACAUUAGAAAAGGAAUGCCUAAUUUACCUCAAGGAAAAGGAAAGUAUACAUCAUUUUCUCAUUGAAUUUUUGGUGAUGGAUUUCACAAUUUAUGGUGGAUAGAUUCCAGGCCCAUUAUCUGUAAGUCCUUAUAAGAUAUUCAACAAGUGAAAAGGUUAAAUGAUGGAUGUACUUACCUUAGCUUCAGAUGCAAUGUUAGUUAUGCAGGUUAGUGGGAGGUAAUAUCCUUUUCUUUUAUAUGUAUUCCAUUAUCACUUUGCUAAGUGAUGAGAAUAGUUAGAUCUCAAGAUUAAACCUAACACUAAUUAAACAUUUGGUUUCUAGACCUAGGUCAUAUUAAUCUAAAUAGGAUCCAAAGACUGAUAAAGUCUAGACUCUUUGAUUCCAAAAGAUCUUUUAGUUUAAGAAUCCUAUAUAGAUGGUAAAAUAACUAAGAGGACUAGAGUCCAAGAAUGUUUGGAGUUAGUUCAUACUAACAUGUAUGGUACUUUUAGUGUCCAUGCAUGGGGAUAGUAGGGGUGUUUCAUCACUUUCAAUGAUGAUUUCUCUAGGUUUGGAUAUGUACAUAGGAGAUCUGAUGCCUUAGAUACAUUCAUUGAAUUUAAGGCGGAAUCGAAUAACCUAUUAGGUAUACAUACCAAGUCACUUUGAUUAGAUUAAGGUGAUAUGUCUAGUAAGUUUGAUUCUUUCCAUUGGAGCAUGGGAUUAUUUCUUAGUUAUGUGAUCAGGGUCUCUAUUACAAAAUGGAGAGAUGGAAAGAAGAUAUCAAACUUCGAUGAACAUAGUGAAAUCGUGGAUAGGUUUCUUAUCUUUUCCUAAACUCUCUUGAUUAAUUGCAUAUGUGGCCUCGAGGUAUUUUGGUAUUCUUAAUUAGAAAUAAAUUUUUUUUUUUCAAAAUUGGAAAACUUAUUAAAUUGGAAUGUGCAUGAUUAAUAAAUUUUAUUUUAAAGAAAAUAUAAGUUGAAAAAGGAUUAAGAGGUUUUUCUUCUUUUUAAAAUUAAUUCAUAGAGAUUUUAAUUUUAUUUAAAAUCUUUUCAAAUCUUUGGGAUCACUAAGAAUAAAAUCAUUUGUUCAAGAAAAAACUCUUAUUUUUCUGAAUCUUUAUACAAUAGUAUUUUUCCUAUUUUAAUUUGCAUAGGAUUCUGAUUUGAAGAAAAUGAGUUAAUUUUGGAAAUUCAUGAUAGAUAAUUUAUAAUUAAGAAUGGUUACCAAAAUAAAUAUUAGAACCAAAGAAAGGUUUUUUGGUAUUCUUAAUAAAUUUUCAUGAGAAGAUAUUUUGCAAGAUUAUUUAUUUAAACUAGUUGUUGCUAAGAAGAUUGUUAUUUCUUUAAAACUAUCUGUGUAUUAAACUUUAAGAGGUUUUCUUGUUCUUUAUCGACGAGAGAAGGAAAGCUAUAUCUAUAGUUGGUCCUUCAGGUUGUCCUCCCCAAAGAGAAUGAGGAAACCGUUCUGUUUGGAUAGUUCAAUGAUAAGGAAUAAGAAAGCAUAUCUUUUAGCAUAUGAAUCUCGAUUUAAAAGGUAAAUAAUGGAUUUGGAAAAUCUCAUGAUAAAGAGUUUAUGAUAAGAAGGGUUACCAAAAUAACUUUGGAAUGUUUUAGUACUUUAAAGGAGAUAUAAAAUAUUUCAAAAAAUACUUUGCAUAAUAGAUUGUUUAAUUCAUUUUUUCAAAUAAACAUUUUUUUGGAGUUUUUCAUAAAGAAUAUUUCAUCCAUUAAGGAAUUGCUAAAAGGUUUUAUUUUUUGGAGUAUUUAAUGGAAAAAAUUAUUAUGAAAUUGAUAUGAAAAUAUUUAUUAAGUUGGAAAAGUGUAAGGAAUAAGAAAAGUAAAUCUUAUAAGGAUUUUUGAAUACGAGAAGCAAAAGUUCCUUUCUUGGACAAGGUGCUCUCAAGAUAAUUCAAAAUCUUAUAAAUUGAUAAUUUUCUUAUUACAUAAGAGUUUCCAAUUUGGAAAAUAAAUACUUUGGAAAUUUUCAUUAGAGAUAAUUUAUUAUUAAAGAAUUAUUACCAAAAGGCUUAAUAAUUUGAUGUAAAUAAAUUUCUUUAAAACAUUUCCUAGAGAAAGAUAAGAACUCUCCACAUGGAUGAGACUAAAUAUGUCUGUAGUGGGAGCAACCACCCCCACAAUGGAUUCUUUACUAGUUCAAGGACAAUGGUUAUACACUUGACAUUGGAUAUGAAGUGGGAAAAUUGCCCCAUGCAGUCCCACUUGCAUAGUCCAUGGGCUAAAUAGAAGGUAUAUUGAUUUUGCCUUUAGAUACUUUUAUGGUUAAGACAAGGAGAUCAAUUUGAGAGGGUCUCUUACUAGUAAUAAGGUCAUAACCUACCCCACAUAGGCUUGAUUCUUAUGAUACUAGGAUACCUUGCAAAAGGACAUGUAGUUUGAGAGCGCUAUAUUUUUCCUAAAUUAAUUACCAAUUGCCGUGAAUGCUCAAUUAUGUCAUACAGUUAUUUAUAAUCUUUGUUAUAGAUGUCAUGUUGGUUUUAUUAUGACUUUCUUUCUCACAAUAGGCCAACCCCAACUAAUCAAUUGGACUAAUCUUAUUCUAGACAUAGUAACUAAUUUCAUAGAAAUUAGUUUAGGAAGAGUUAGCUAUUUCUUAUGAACUAAUCUAGCAAAAGGAAAAAGUGGUAUAUCAAGGUGGUAUUAGACGGAUCAAAAAACCAAGUGUCUAAUACUUGGAUCUUUAGAUAAUGUGUUGCAAUAGCAACACAUGUCCAUUACUAAAGACUUUGAUAUUAUCUUUCUAGUUUGCAAUGACUAUUUGGUGAUAAGGAUAGGUCAGCUUUGGCAAGCUACUCUUAAAGAUGUUAUGAAUACUAGUAUUCAUAUGAUCUUAGAGGCCUUGUCAUUUUCUUUUGAGAUGGCUAAGGGGAUUCUCAAAGAUUAUAGGGUGUUCAUAUGGAAGUCAAAGGUUCUUCAAGUUUUUCUCUCAAGAAGAAGAAAAAUAACUCCAAAUAAGGAAAGUUCAAGAGAAGGAAUAAGAGAGCAAGCUCAGGGACAAGUGAUUCCUUUGUGACCUUUUAGGACACUAGAAAAGGAAUGUUUGGUUUACUAAAGGAAAAAUGAAAGUAUACAUCAUUUUCUCAUUAUUGAAUAUUUAGUGGUGGAUUUCAUCAUUUAUGGUGGAUAGAUUCUAGGCCCACUAUCUGUAAGUCCUUAUAGGAUAUUAAAAAAUGAUAAGAUUAAAUGAUGGAAUUAUACUUACCUUACCUUCAAAUGCAAGGUUAGUUAUAUAGUUUAGUGGGAGAUAAUAUCUUAUUCUUUUAUAUUUAUUAUAUUAUCACUUUGCCAAGUGAUGAGAAUAGUUAGAUCUCAAGAUUGGACCUAGCGCUAAUUAAACAUUUGGUAUCUAGACCUAGGUCAUAUUAAUCUAAAUAGGAUCUAAAGCCUAGUAAAGUUUGGACUCUUUGACUCUAGAAGAUCUUCCAGUCUAUGAAUCAUGUAUAGAUGGUAAAAUGACCAAGAGGACUAGAGCUAAGGAAUGUUUUGAUUUAGUGCAUACUAACAUGUAUGGAACUUUUAGUGUCCAUGCAUGGGUAGGGUAUGGGUAUUUCAUUACUUUUAGUAAUGAUUACUCUCGGUUUGAAUAUGUACAUAGGAAAUCUGAUGCCUUUGAUACAUUCAUUAAAUUUAAGGUGGGAUCGGAUAACCUAUUGGACAUACAUACCAAGUCACUUCAAUUAGAUUAAGGUGAUAUGUCUAGUAAGUUUGAUUAUUUUCAUUAGAGCACAAUAUUAUUUCCUAGUUAUGUGCACCAAGGUUUCCAUUGCAAAAUGGAGAGAUGGAAAUAAGAUAUCAAACUUGGAUGGAUAUAGUGAGAUUGUGGAUAAGUUUCACAUCUCAUCCCGGAUUCUAUUGGGGAUAUGUCUUAUAGACUAUGUAAUAAUUUUUUUUUUUCUUUAGAGGUAUAUCAAUUUAUAAGGCAACUAAGAGGAUUUUUGGGUUAUUACCUUUAUAGUCAGGAUCAUCAAAAGAUAUUUGUUGAUACAAAUAUUAGAUUUUUUAUGAAGAAUAUAUGAUAAGGAAUAAGGCAAAAAGUGAUACAAAUUGGAGGAUGUAUUAGAAGAUAGUCCCACAUUGCAUAAGAUACUAUAGAUCCAAAGGGUUAAAGACAUAUCAUUCCUAUGAUUUCUAGUACACCUAUGCCUCAUCAUAGUUAGAGAUUUACAUCCCAUAGAUUAUGAUGAAGAGGUGAGCAGUGUUUGUGAUCAAUUAAGGCAAGGAGCUACGAAGAAGUAGUUAGAAUCUCUAUAUUCUAACAUAAUUUGGGUUCUUGUAAAAACAUCUAAUGGGAUAAGACCCAGAGGUGUAAGUUGAUCUACAAAAAAAACACAAGAGUAGAUGAAAAACUUGAGUUUUAUGUGACUAAGACUUUAGCUAAAGGUUAUAGUUUAAAAUUUUGUUUCAACUAUGGAAAACCUUUUCAACAGUGGUCGUACUUAAAUCCAUUAAAUUAUUCCUAUCUAUUGCAGUGUGUCUCAUUUAGCCUUGUGUAUACAAGAAGGCACAGGGAAGCAUGGUGAUGCUCUAAGAUCUUACAGGUAAAUGACAAUCUACUCAUUAGAUAUGAUGUAGGGAUAUUAUUUUCAGUCAAAAUCUAGUAGUAUACUCAAUUCUAGAUGAAAAUCUAGAGGAAGGCAUAAUAUAUUCUUAAGAUUAAGGUCCUUUAAGACUACAAGAAUAGGAAAAUUAUGGCAUGUCACCUACAUAGAUAAGCAUCUAGUUAAGUACAUGAUACAAAACUCCAAGAAGGGCUUGUUACUCUUUGGAUUUGGAGUUAUCUUUUUUCUGAUCAAUUUCCUUGGACAUCUAUGGAGAGAGAUUGCAUUAAGGUAGUAUCCAAUGCCUCUGCAAUGGAUAGCCUUGAGUAUGUGAUGCUAUGUGCUAGACUAGAUAUUUGAUUUAUUAUAGGAAUAAUAAGUGGAUAUUAGUCCAUUUCCUUAUUAGAGCUUUGGGCAGAUAUCAAACAUAUACUCUAGUAUCUUUGGAGACAAGGGAUUAUAUGUUUAUGAGUCUUUAUAAUGAGUUGAUACUCUUUUUGUACCAGGAAAUUAGACUUCAGUCAGAUAAGGACUCUCGUAGGUCUACCUCUAGGUAUGUGUACACUCUAAGUGGUUUUUUGUUAUUUCUAUAACAACAAAAGAAGCCUUUUGGCUUAUGGGUAGUUCCUUUGGCUAUUUCCUUAACAAAAGUACUACUAGAAGAGGAAACACAAAAGAGGAAGUGUUACCUUAUUAUGAGAUAGUACAAGGAGGUGAUAUGACUAUGGAGCAUAAUCUUUCUAUAGUGCCUAGUUUGCUUUUGAGGAUAGUGGGAGUUUGUUGGGAUUGAGCCCCUAAAAGCAAGACAUGAAAUAACAAAGUUAGACUUAACUAUCCUUUUGCUAUCAUCUUGGUGUAUUGACAUUAAUUUUAACAUCCAACCCAAGUGUCUUACUAUAGACCCUCAAUUUUGUCCUCUUAGCACAUGUCCUAUUAGAUACUUGUUCGAUACUUUAUAGUUAGCUCCUUGGUGGCCCAUAUCUACUCACGCUACACUACUACAAAAAUAGUUUAUGGUGUCACUAUUUACGGUGUCACUAUUAAAAUAAUGACACCAUAGGAUUUAUAAUUAAUAAAGGUGACACAUCAUAUAAAAAAUCUUCACUUGAGGUAGUUAGAUGAUAUUAAUUUUAUAUUUAUAGUGUCAUUUUUUGGGAAGUGACAUCAUAUAAAAUAAUUUUUUUUAAGUAUUAUAACCCAUUUUUAGAAUUAAUAAUGAUGGAUACUAUAUAAAAAUCCCAUUGUUUCCAUAUCUCACCCACAAUCCAAAAAAUCUCAAUAUAUAAAUCCUAUAUAUAAAAUCGUGAUCUUCUUCAACCUUUUCUCUCACCCAUAGUCAACAUGCUCACAACCGACAUUCUUCACUUUGUGGACUUCCAGGUAACCCAAAAUCUCUUGGAUCUAUCAUUUUUUUUUCUUUUAUUAAUGUCAUUAUAUUAAUUGUUUCAACAUCUUUGUAUUAUGGUUUUUGUGAAUUGUGUAUUCUUGAGUUGUAGGGAAGAAAAAUUUAGGUUUAAUCUUCUAGCAUAGAAGAAAAAACUGUAGAUUAAUUGAUUUCUUAAUCUAAACCAAACACAUGAUCAAAUCCUUAAAAAAAAGGGGAAAAACAGGAAAAAAAAAAUGAAUGAUUUUUAAUAUCUAUUUGUGUGAGAAUGACAGGUACAUAAUUUUUUUUAGAUAUACUAUCACAUAAUCUUCAUCCUUUCUAAAAAACGAGAGAGGAAAAAAAAAUGAUUUUUCUGUUUGUAUCUAAGUGGGAAUGAGAUAUAGAAUUUCGUUGAGAGUAUCCAACCCCAAAAGGACCAAUUCGGGAAGGCAUGUGUGGUAUUGACGGGAGAUGAUAAGAUGAAAAUCAUAACCAUAGCCAUGUUUGAUCUCUCUAUGUCUUUCUAUCCUCUUCAAUUAAUUCAUGGGCAUAGAUAUUUUAUUUAGUUUUUAUAUUUAGUUUAUUUAUAGUUUAUUUAGUUUCUAAAAUCCAAUUAGCUAGAUAUUUUAUUUGAUUUUAUUUUUAUAUUGAAGUAGUUGAGUUUUGGAAAGUUUUUAUAUUUUGUUAAUAGAAAUAGAAAUUUUUAUAUUUUUUAUUAUUAGGAAUUUCUAUUUUGUUAAAUUGUAAGUAUCUAUCUCAAUAAGAGAUUAUUAAUAUUCAAAUGAAAGUGAUGAAAGAGAGUAAAUAUUUUAAUGCUCAAUUAUAUUUUAAUGUUUUUUUUUUUUUUUACAUAAGGGUUUAUUUAUGUUUUCAAUUUUGAAGUUUCCUUUCCAAGUCCAUCAACAAAAGUAGUGUCCAACCUUAAAAUGGACAUGUGUGGUAUUAACGGGAGAUGAUAAGAUGGAAAUCAUAACCAUAGCCAUGUUCGAUCUCUCUAUGUCUUUCUAUCCUCUUCAAUUAAUUCAUGGGCAUAGAUAUUUUAUUUAGUUUUUAUAUUUAGUUUAUUUAUAGUUUAUUUAGUUUCUAAAAUCCAAUUAGCUAGAUAUUUUAUUUGAUUUUAUUUUUAUAUUUAAGUAGUUGAGUUUUGGAAAGUUUUUAUAUUUUGUUAAUAGAAAUAGAAAUUUUUAUAUUUUUUAUUAUUAGGAAUUUCUAUUUUGUUAAAUUGUAAGUAUCUAUCUCAAUAAGAGAUUAUUAAUAUUCAAAUGAAAGUGAUGAAAGAGAGUAAAUAUUUUAAUGCUCAAUUAUAUUUUAAUGUUUUUUUUUUUUUUUACAUAAGGGUUUAUUUAUGUUUUCAAUUUUGAAGUUCCCUUUCCAAGUCCAUCAACAAAAGUAGUAUCCAACCUUAAAAUGGGCAUGUGUGGUAUUGACGGGAGAUGAUAAGAUGGAAAUCAUAACCAUAGCCAUGUUCUCUCUGUGUCUUUCUAUCCCCUUCAAUUAAUUCAUGGGCAUAGAUAUUUUAUUUAGUUUUUAUAUUUAGUUUAUUUAUAGUUUAUUUAGUUUCUAAAAUCCAAUUAGCUAGAUAUUUUAUUUGAUUUUGUUUUUAUAUUUAAGUAGUUGAGUUUUGGAAAGUUUUUAUAUUUUGUUAAUAAAAAUAGAUAUGAGGACUUAAAAGGUUUAUAUUUAGGUAGUGCUUGAGCCAAGGAAAAUGAUAGUCCACUAUCUUGACCCUAUGCAUCACAAACCAUGUGAGGACUUAAAGGAUAUCGUAAACAUGUAAGUUCUUCCUAUUAUUUUUCAUAGUAUUAUUUUUAAAUAAAAAAAAUACAUUCACCUCAAACACAUUUUUUUAUCAUUUAUAUAUAUUAAAACAUAUAACAUUUACCUAUUUUUAAAAUGUACCCAUUGAACUUAUUUACAUAGGACUCUUCGAAUAUCUGCAAAGAAAACAUCUAAGAGGGAAUCAUCUUAGCAACUAGUGCAAGUGACAUCCAAAAAUUUUUCUUUACACAUUAGCUUAUGCAUUUGCACCAUUUAUAUAUGUGAGUACUAAUGUUAUUUUAUAAUUGAUCGAUUAGUGUCCAAGACAAGAAGGAGGGUUCGAAUGUGGCUACUUUGUUAUGAGAUUCAUUAAAGAGAUAAUUUUUUAUCCUACAAUUAUUGCUUCAAAGGUAUUACUUAUUUAAUGAAUUGUACAUAGUUUUAGGCUUCCAAAUGUUAUGCAUUUUAAUGUUAUUUUCUUAUUUGAUUUCAGUUUUGUGAUAAAAAAAACAUAUUCUCAAGUAGAAUUAUAUUUCCAUUUAUUCAUCAGAAGAAGCGCCCUUCGAUGAAAUUAGAGGAGAAUGGGUUACUUUUGUGCUACAACUAAUCAUGAAUCAUGUUAAUGCAUCAUGAUCACCAUGCAUGGUGAGUCCCUUAGCUACUACAUGAAUAUUUCCAUAGGUAUUUUAUAGUAAUUCUUAUUCUUUGAAUAAUGUUUCUAUUUGAAAAAAAAAAAUAGUUCUUAGAUUUGUUCAUUUAUGAUAACAUCGAUCCAUGUUUAUUUUCUUCAAUAAAAAUCUUUAAAACUCAUUAAAUUUUGAAAUGUAGGUAUACACUCUUGGGAUGGUGAAAUGGAGAAUAAAAAGAAAGAAGAAGGCAACAAGAUUUUGGGUUUUUAAAUGCAACUCUUAUGUUAUACGUUGUAGGACAUAAACGUUACUUUAAUUGCAACUGAGAAAUUUAGAUUUUUAGAUGGGACUUUUAUGUCAUUUUAUGGUUAGCCGGUUUUAUGCUUAGGAAAUGGAGGUAUACAUGAAUCUUGGGAUCUUUAACAUUUCUAAAUCAUGUUUUGGUAUGUAUUCACUCUUCUUUUUUAGUUUUGAUGGGUUUGAUAUGUUGGACGUACUAUCCUUUUGUGAACAUUUGAUAUACAAAUAUUAUUAGAUGAUUAAUGUAUUAUGAGUUAUUCCAGAAACAUUACAGAAAAAUGAGUUAAAUAUAAUAUGAUUGUUAUAUUUAUGGACAAAAUAUAAAUAGGUUAAUCUUAUUAAUUCAUAAGCAUUACAAAAAUCAACAACUAAAACCAAUCAUAUCUUCCACAAUAAUUUACAAUGAUGUGAUACCAUAACUUAAAGAUGAUGCAUUUAAUGUGACAUCAUAACUCAAAGAUGAUGUAUUUAAUGUGCCACCUUAUCAUCACUAGAAAUAUAUGGUGUCACUUCCGAAUGGGUCACCAUUUAUCUACUUUGGUGUCACUUCCAAAUACGUCACCAAUUGGUACCCUCUAUGGUGUCAGUGGAGAAGGUGACGCUAUGUUGUAGUAACACCCUAUGUUUAUGGUGACUCGUUAUAAAUGUCACCAUAUACCUUUUUCCUUGUAGUGCUACUUACCUUUCUUGAGCCACCUUGGAGACUCUAGUUAAGGGAUUGCCUAACCCCUUUAUUGUGACCCUUGGCAGUUUUGAUUUAGACUUAAGCUUUCCAUUCCUUUUUAGGAUAGUUCUUAAGCAUGUUUAGGUCACUUAGACAAUAUCCCGAUCACUUUAGGACACUUAGUUCAUUAGGCACCCAUGUAGGCCCGUUUAAACACUUCAUCGGGCUUAACUUUUAUAUGUAUAUAUAUAGAUAACUUUUAUUAUUAUUAUUAUUAUUAUUAUUGCAUGUAUUCGAUAAUUAUAUUUAUUUUGUUUAUUCAUUUUCAUUUUUUACUCUUUAUUUGUUUAUUAUUAUCAUUGUCAUUAUUAUUACUAUUACAAUUUUUAUUUUUAUUUUUAUUUUAUUUAUUCACUUAUCUAAUAGGAAUUUGCUUGAAUUGUUUAGACUCCAAAAUGUGCAUAUAGCCCCCUUAUUGAAUGAUGGAUAUAUAAUCUAGUAUCUCAUUGUUCUCUUUCUUUUCUUUUAAAUCAUAUUUUAUUUUAUUACCAAUCUCAUGAUUUCCAUUAGUUUAUUCUCUUUUCUUCUAAUUUUUAUUUUAUUUUUAUUUUCAAUUUAAUUUUAUUCUGUUUUGCAUGAGGAAAUUAUUGAGAGAGCUUGCUACUGUUAAAGAUGGGGCUGUCCGGUUUAAAGUACCAGAAGAUAUUAAAUCCUAAAGCCUUGAUUUUGGAGUAGACCCUUGGAGUGAGGAUGAAGAUUGGUUCUUUGAUGACGAAGAUUCUGAUAUAGAAGAGAAAAAAGAAUCUCUUCUUACCAAACGUCAAGGAAAAGGUGCUGAUUUUGUUCGUGCAGCAUAGGAGAUUGUUGAUAGUUAUGAGGAGUUGAAGAAACAGGAUCAAGUUGAUGAUUUUAACUCUGCCAAUGAUGUUGCUGUGACAAAUAGUGAGAAUUUAGUGGACUCAUCAUCUAAUUCUGGGUUGAAGGAUCAGCCUGAAGCCCCCACAGUAGCAGUCAAUUCAAGAUUAAAAACUUCAUAUUCUGCCAAGGAUAGAAGUGAACCAAAGCUACUUGAGAAAGUCCAGAAUGAGUUGCUGUCGGUAUUUGCAAACCAACUGCUUGAGAAGGAGCACUCUAGGUGCCAUGCGUUGCUUAGAGAUGACAAGGUGGAUAAUUUAUCAAGGAAAACCAAAAUAGGAAGGAAGUGGCCACACAACACGCAUAUAGUGGGCUGUGAGGGAGAUUCCUUUGGGUUUUUUUUUAGAAAGAAAAGUCAACUGAUCUAAUGACUUACCAAACAACAUGCGGCUGCAUCCUUGGGAAAUCUCCAAUGUGAACCACAUGUAUGCACUUUCCUAUAUCACGUGCAUCGACGGAAAGGAAAGAAAUAUUAGAGUGAAGCCGCCAUAUAAAGGAGGAGGCGACUGUUUGGAAGGGAUCAACCUGUGUUUUGAAGCAUGAGAGGCUGCUGUUUGAAGUGAUCCGAUGAGGGAUUUUUUAGAGCCUUUGAGGAUACCGUUUGGGAGGAGAUUAGUAGCAUUUUGAAGGGAUCAUAGGCUGCUGUUCGCACAAAGAUCAGUCCGCAUUUUCAGAGCGUGAGGAGCUACUGUUUGAGAUGAUCCGAAGAGAGAGUUUUGAGAGCAUGCGAGAGGCUAUUUCAAGGGAUAUAAAAGAGAGAGUUUAGAGAGUGUGAGAGGGGCUGUUUUGAAGGGAUCAGUGCAAGGAGAUUUGAGAGCAAAGAGGUGGCUAUUUGAACUCACUGACGAAACCAUCUGGACAAUAGCCCAUCCAUCCAUGCAUCUUUGAAAAUGAUGAAUCCUCCAAUUCCCAUCAUUGUCAACUACACAACCAGACCAUAUUUUAUUCUCUUCUAGCCACUAGAGUGCUGCAGAUUAUAAAAAAUAAAAUAAAAUUCUGACCUGGAAUACAUAAAAGAACUUGGUUCGGGUACUUAUGGAAUUGUAUCUUAUGGAAAGAGGAAGAUGGCCGCCACAUAAGCCACACAUUAAGAGAUGAUUUUCUGAAACACGGAAAGAACAGCACGCAUCUAAGAGCGGUCUUCCUACAACAGAUUCAACAAUAUGCAUUCUUGAAGGCAAGUUUCUUUUUCUUUUUUUUAAAAUUUUAUUUUAGUUUAAUUUUAAUUUAUUUCGUUAGUUUAGAUGUUUUUUUUAUAAUUAGUUUAAUUAAUUCUACAUGAUAAAGUUCUUAUUUUUUUCAUUUCAAUUUACUUUAGUGCUGAUUUUUCUUUUAGUUUAGAUGUGUUUGUGAGUUUCUAACUUUUUGGUUUAAUCAAUUUUAUGUGAAAAAAUCAUGUUUCUUUUAUUCUACCUUGGUUAAAUUAAACUCAUCUAUUUAGUUUAAAUACUUUUGUAGUUUUAGAUCAUUGAAAAAAUUAAUUCCAUGUUUGAAAGUUCUUACUUUUAGUUUUCUUUUAUUUAAUUUUGUGCAUUUUAAUUAGUUUAGGUAAUUUUAUAAUUUUAGUUUAUUAAUAAAAUUAAUCCCAUGUUCGAAAGCUCACUUUUUUUUAGCUUGCUUCAAUUUAAUUUGGUUCAUUUUGAUUAGUUUAGGUACUUUUAUAGUUUUAAUUCAUUAAUAAAAUUGAUUCUAUAUUUGAAAGUUCAUGCUUUUAGUUUACUCUGAUUUGGCUUCACUCAUCUAUUUAGUUUAGGUAUUUUCUAUAAUAUUAGCUUAUUAAUAAAAUUAAUUUUAUGACUGAAAAUUCACAUUUGCCUUGACUUAAUUUCGUCCAUUUUAACCAGUCUAGAUGCAUUUGUGUGUUUGAUUGAUCAUGUGCUAAUUCUUGAUUGUUAUUUUUAAUUGAUGUGUUUCUCGAAAAUAGUCAUUAAUUCUUGGUGGGUAUAUCGUUAGCUUAUAUGAUCUAAGUUCGAAUAGUUUAUUGCUUUGGUAGUCUAUGGUAAAAUUUACUUUUCGGAGGCCAUCGGAAAAUAGUGAAGAUUGACCUCCAUUCCCACCACUUCAAUUUUCUCAGUUGUCAAAAACUCUACUUUGCGAUUUUAAUCACUUUUGUUUUGCUUGGUAUUUUGUUCCUUAUGUCUUGUCGUUUUCAAAUUAAUUUCUUUUAUUUUGAAAUCCAACACUUUUCUUAAAAGAUCCCUUUAAAAAUCUAUUUAAAAAAAAUUCAUUUAGAGUCCUUAGAAUAAAAAAAAAAAAUCUCAUUUUCUUAAAAUUUGCAACCAUAUUUCGAUCGGUUUGCAUCCUUCUCAAUUUUCAACAAAAAUUUUGGUUUUAAAAAAAAUGCGAAUCAAAGCUUGUGGUCCCAAAUAAAUGGGACAAUUUUAGGCUAAAUUCAUGUAUAUUAAUUUGGGGAAUUGGUGAAAUCCCUACAUAAGAAAAUCUUUUUCAAAAUUUAUUUUUUGCUACCACCUUGCUAUUUAUUGUAAUCAUAUUUACAUUUUUUCUUUUUGGGAAUUGUAUGCAAGAUAUGUAUGAUAAUUAAUUAUUCCAAAUUCUGAUAAUUUUUGCUAAUUAAUUAGAUAAGCAUGCUAGGAUUUAUUAUUCAUUAUUUAUUAUUUAUUAUCUAACCCCCAUGUCCUAAGGAAGCGCAUUAGGAGUUAUAUAUGCUAUCUAGGUACGUUCCAAAAUUUCAUGAAUAUGUGUCAUUGCCCUUGUUUGAUGCCAUACUUGAUUGUCUCAAUGCUUGUCUGAUCAUCCUUGAUAAAAUGCAUGUCAUGUGUCAUACUUUUGAAUUAACCAUUGAUGUUUUAGGGUUUUUCUUUCUUGUUUUAUUUUCCCUUUAAAAUAAAAAUAAAAUAAGUGGCGGCUCCAACUUUUCCAAAACUAAAUAUUUUUUCACAAAUAAAAAGCUAGUCUCGCCGAUCGAGUGGGAACGCAAGUGAAAAAUAUGGGUCCGCACUUACAUUGUACAUGACCUACGUGCAUUAAGAGUUAAACAAAAGAUACAAGUAAUGGGUUCCUUUGUAGGUAGAUAAGUUGUCCCCAGUUGGUUCAUGGAUUUGGGAAAACCAGUAGAGAUUGUAGUGCACCACCUCCUCAUAAUUAGAGGGAUGGUUUAUCUUGGCCAUCAGGAUGAGUUUCCCAUAGCAAGUGCACUAAUGUAUGUGAUGCACACUGGAUAAAACCUAUGAUGAAUCAUGAUGCAAGGCUAAACGACUCUGGGUCAUGAGCUCAGGGCUAUAAAUGCUAAGAAUGACUCUGGGUCAUAGAUGAGAAAAACGACUCUAAGUCGUGAGCUUUGGGCUCUAAAUGGAAAAGAAAUGACUCUAGGUCAUAAAUGAAAAUUGACUCCGGGUUGAGAACUCAGGGCUCUAAAUGGAUAGUCGAUCAGGAUGCUUUCCGGCUCAUGGUGCCGGGUCGAGGCCACUCACAAGUGGCUAGAAUGAUGAAAAUGAGACAUCUCAAGGAUGUGAAGGAUGCAAACGACUCUGGGUCAUAAGCUUAGGGCUCAGGAUGCUAUGAAUGACUCUGGGUCAUGAUGCGAUGAGUAACUCAGGGUUAUGAUGAAUAGCUCAAGGCUAUGGGUGGAAUGAAUGACUCUGGGUCAUGAUGCAAUAAGCAAAUCAGAGUUACGAUGAAUAGCUCAAGGCUAUGGAUGACAUAAAUGACUCUGGUUCAUGAUGCAAUGUGUAACUCGGGGUUACAAUGAAUAGCUCAAGGCUAUGAGCUUUGGGCUCUAGAAAGAACGGCUAGAAGGAGAAUGCAACACGCAAACUCCCGGUCAAACCACUCAUGGGCGACCAAAUGAUGAAGGCUCAACUCAAGGCUGGAAAGACUCGGGGUCUAUAGGAAACGAUAGCUUAGGGCUACCAGGCUCAGGACCUAAGGGAAGAAAGAGAGCUCAGGGCUAUAAGACUUAGGGUCUAGAAGGAAUGGAUAACUCAGGGCUAUGAGGCUCGAGGCCUAGAAGGAACGGAUAAAUCAAGGCCAUAAGACUCAGGGUCUAAAAGGAGUGGAUAGCUCAGGGCUUUGAGGCUCAGGGCCUAGAAAAAACAGGUAAAGAAGACCAACUCGAAAGUGGAUAGGAAGUAAAUGGGCUCAAAGUCGUAUACUCAAAGUGACAAGAGUCGGACUACUGAGCUCAAGAAGGGAAAUAUGCCCCAGUAACCAGGGUGCUCACAUUGCUAAAACAACCAGUAAAUCAAUCAUCCGCUAAAAUCAAUGGGUCAGGGACCAAUACACCAUGACAAACCUCUGAAAAGUCAAACUGGAAGAACUCUCUGUGUCUGAAAAGCUGCUCUGCCAACGAAUCUCAAAAGGUAAAUCUCAAAGUGUGGAUAUCGUGGCUCAUCUAAAAACAAAUCUCAAAGUGCACAAAAUACUACUCAUAUGGAUAAUCCAAUAUGCAAGGUAACAAUGACGAAAACAAAUCCAUCUCAUGAACAUCUAGCUAAAGGAUCCGCCCAUGCUCCUUGGGUGAAACCUGAUAUGAUCCAUCUCUAUCUCGACAAAUCCAUGUAGGGAGGUCCUGAUAUAAUCAAUCGUCAAAAGCUCUAAACUAAUACUCAAUCUAAAACCAAGUUGGCCACUGUCUCAAUCUCAAGGAUACUCAAAGAAAAUGAGGAAAUACUCCCCAGUAUAAGUUCCGAUAUCAAAGUCAUGAGGUAAACAACCGACACUAAUCAUCCAUUCUCAUACCACUGCCCAAACUAAUCUCACAAAGGAGAGGGGAAUAUGCUCCAGUAUGAUAUUUGAUGUCAAAGUCGUGAGAUAAACAACCAACAAUGAUCAUCCAUCUAUAUACCGCUGCCCGAACAUAAUCUCAUCAUGGAGAGGGGAAUAUGCCCCAGUAUGGAUAUCUGAUGUACAAUAAAGAAUUCGUCAAAAUCAAUCAAACAUCUCAAUAACCAUGGAUAGGAAUAGUCAUAUCAUCCAACAACAACUAAAAGCCUCAGAGAAAAGGGGAAAUAUGCCCCAGUGUGGAUAUUUGACGCACAAUCAAAAGGAUGAAUCUAAUGUCAUCAAUCAACUGUCUCCAACUCAACAAUAAUCCACUAAGAAAUCAGAAUGAAGUAUCAACAAAUACCUCAAGGAAGACUCUUUAAAUUUGAUCUCAAAUGAAUAAUCAAAAUGAUGAGGAAUAUGAUAAUCUCGAGAGUAGAAGCACGUCUCUGAUGAAUCCCUAACUAAAUCUGAUGGGAAUCUGGUGACCUCCAAGUGAGGGAAUAUACUCUAGUGUACAAGAUCUAUAUACUGCACUGAAAACUGUCUCCAACAAAAAAAUGAUCCACUAGUCUAUCUCAAAAAUACUCUGCAGAUGGAACCUAGAAUCAUGAAAACUGUCAAUGAGCUCAAUAAUGCUCCACUAGAACUGAUAUCAUCUCAACAUGCUCCACUAGGGAUCUUUGAUUGAUGAAAAUGCCCAGGCUCAAAUAAAGUGCUCCACUAGGGGCUCAUCUCAACCAAAUGAAAGGAGAAUAUGCCCUAGUAUGGAUAUCUGAUGUGCAAUAGAAUUGGAAGCUAAACAACAUCAAAUAUCAUCCAUAAAAAUGAAGUAAUCGUCUACAUCCAACACUAGAUCACCUCCAAGCAUCAAAGAAGCAUCUCCUAGAAGAAGAAAUAGAACAACGUCUAUAUAUCAACCAAAUCCCAAACACUAGCCUAAGUAGAGGCUGUCAAAGAUAACAUUUGAUCUCAUGGCCUCAAGGUGGUCUUAAGACACGAGACGUAACGUAAACUAGGGUGAUAAGAUGAAAGAAAUGAAGGGAAACUAGGUUCAAAUACCCAAUGAUCAAACCCAUACCCUCAUGUACAAAAUGUAAUGCAUAGAAAAAAUCUCAUGAGUCAUGAACCUAAAGGUAACCAAAGGAAAUGUUGAUGGUGAAACAAGAGAAAGGAUAAGUGGUCAAACCAUCAAUGAAACAUGUGAGUGAUGUGAAGAAGGUAUCGAAUCAGUAAUGUGUAUCAAUAUGUAGGGAAUAGAUAAAAUAUGGAACAAUGAUUUGGAAAGAGGUGGUGAGAUACAAAAGAAGGCAAUGAGAAAGUGGAAUGAAUGAUGAUCAACUCAUAUUAGUACAAUAAAGGAAAGUCAUAUCACCAAUGAUGGAAUGGUGAAUAAGACAAUGAUCUGGAGACCCUAGUAAAAGGUCAUUCAUCUCUCUUACCUAACACAUAUCUACCAUGACCUGAGAAGCAUAGGAUACCAUAGAACUCUCACAUGAACCCUCGAGACUCCAAAUGCAUGACACGAAUGGCUCAAGGAGUGCAAACCUAUAUAAAAAUCUCGCAAGAACCCACAAUGACAAAUAUACCCAAUAAAUAGACCUCAAAAGGUGACAUAAGUGCCCAAUGGAGCAAGAUUCCACACACAAACAUAUCAUUUCACUUUUUCUUUCUUUUUUUUUUUCUUUUUUUUUUUGUUUUUUUUGUUUUUUUGUUUUUUAUUUGUUUGUUUGUUUUUUCUUUUUUUUUAGCGCAUGCUCUGAUCAUCAAUAAGUCAAACUCCAAUGGGAAAGAUACAAGAAAUGAAUAAACUCUCUCAAAUCACUGAUGAAUACAUGAACCCCUACCCAUGAGACAACCUCUCAAACUAAAAUCUCCGAAUCAAUGCCAAAUGAUGGGAUGAAUGGAGUGAUAUGACUGCCCUCUUUACACUAAGAUGUGAAGAAUCAUCAGCCCAAGGAAGAGAAGAGAUAAAAUGAAGCAAAUAAUGAUAAAAGCAAGAAAGAGAAUGGAAAUGUGAUGAUAGCAAAAUAGAACAAACGGGGUGAUAAGAAGAUGAUGACAAAAAUGAGAAGAUAGGCCUAUAAGUCUAAAGCUCAUGAGACUUUCAUAGCAAAGCAUGCAUAUACACCAAAGGGUCCCAACCCGGGUGUAGAAAUGGUAAUCAAGGCUAUAAGAAAGAAAUAAGGCUAUAACAUACCACGUGAGGCUCAAUGGGCUAGCAACGAUUUAAUAUAUUAAUAAAGGUGAUAAGGUGUAAGGCUAAUCGAAAUGAUGGCCACCCAUCCUGCGACCAUGGUCUCAAAUGUAAUACUUCUUCAACUAAUCCACAUUGGUGGGGUUUGAGAACUGGUCUCUAUUGAUUCGUCCCUAGCAGUGGCAGUGGCAAUGGCACCAUCUGAUUCGGGGUUCGAUCCCCGGCAACGACGCCAUUUGAUUCAUGCCCAAUUGGUGUCUCAGCUGAUUCGUGUCCAGCUGGUGCUCCUUGAUUGAGGGAGUAAUCAACAAAAUUUAUAACCUAUUACACCAUAUACUAGGGUAGCAAAGACAAAGCUACUAUAGUAUAGUGGCUCUAGGAUCGUUCACUGGGAUGGGUUUUCACUUUGCAAAUGAUAUUAAUUCAAAGCUGAAUUGGUGUCUUUUCAUUUCAAGGUUAGCUUUAAAAGGAAACAUAAAGAUGUUUGAAUGAAAAAGGUUUGGUUUUAAACUAACCAAAAAUAGUAACUGAUUUUACUUAUAAAGAAAAGUGUUUCUUGGAGUUCAUAUCACUAGGCUCGUUCCUCAUACAAAAAGGAGAGUUCCGGUCACUUGUUUCUUUUCCUCGCAUUAGAGAAUUAACAUAUAGUUCCUUCUCCAACCGGUGUUGUACAGAUGCUUCCCAUUAAUGGGUUCAAACACUAAAUCCCUCUCACUGAUGCAUCUUGCAAUGGCUCAUACCUCUCACCUAGCACUUGCCAUUCAAGGUGAUCUUUAACCUUGGACUUCCCUUCUCAAGCUCGCAAGAGAUAACUAAUGGAUGUCUCCUUGGAGUCCAAAAGCUUACCAAGUGUUGGCUAUUCUAGAAAAUCCUACCUUCAAACCACCUCCCAAAGGCUCGCAAGAGAUAAACUAGUGAAUCUCCAUGGACGGAGAUCACUUGCCUUACCAAGUGUUGGCCCAGGUGAUUUAAAGACGUUUUAAGUUAACUAAAAAGAUAAAAACCAUUAACGGGUCACACUUUCUCUUCAUUAAAAACUAAAACAACAAAACUUCCAAUUUAUGCAUGUGGAAACUUACCCGGCUUUCCUCAUUCCAAGAGACAAAAAGCUUAGCCUCUCAUCCUCUGUGGAAAAAUCCUCAAAGUUUGGUUGGCUAGAAAAUGAAAAUGAAAGAGAAGACAAGAAUAUAUAUGAAAAACAGAGCAAGUGCUCUGUUCGUUGAUUCUAUAUAUGAUAUAUCUAUAUAUUGAUCGGAUUACAUAUAUGAUUCUCUUACAGUGGAUGCAAGGGAAUAUAUAUAGAGAUGUUUUUCCAACCUUCCUAACUAAGAAAUCUUAUGGUUGGUGGAUUACAAGGAGAAGAAUGGAAAUUCAUACAAAAAUAUCUGAAGAAAAGAUCUAAAAGAGUCGGUGCACAACUAUCGGGAAGCACUAAGGACCAUUUCGCAGGUGAAAACGAGGUCUGCGAGAUUUCGCAGACAUCCAAAAAGGGCUGCGAAAUCACUUCGUAGCAACAAGCUAUCCUCGCAGGGCUGCGAAGUUGGCUUUCAUCUUGAGGUGCUCAUCUUCCAGCGUGUCGCAUAUAUCGGGUAACUUCAGGAGGAAAUCCACAACACUGUGCAAAAAGGCUGCGAAAUUCUCGCAACAAAAGGCUGAUUCCGCAACACUUUGCAAAAUGCUUCCUUCAGCUUGGAGUGAUCGUCUUGCAAUGGCUGUAACUCCUUCAUUUAAACUCCAAAUCAUACACGGUUUGAAGCGUUGGAUUCUUGACUUCCUGAGCUUUCAAAUGGUAUAUAGAAUGUAGAAAAUGAACUUCGGGAAGUGCUCCAAAAGUGCGCAAGAAGACUGCAGCUGCUGUCCUCUGUUUUCCUCUUCACUCUGUUUUUCCUCUCUCCUUGCUUCUCUCCUUGCAUACUUUGAACGACUUUGGCAAAGGGCUAUGGAGCUCCAAAGCUUGGUUCUUCAUGAAUUUGAGCUUCCAAUAGCUUUGCCAUAACUUGUCCAAGUAGCUCCUCCAUCAUUUGGCAUGCUUGAAUUGAUUCAUAAGCUGAUAAAAACAUAUAAACUUGCCAUAAAAUGGUUAAAACCAAUUACUAAGGACCUUAAUGAAUUAAUUGGGUUAAAUGAAUAUGAUUAAUACUCAAAGGUGCUUAAAACCAUUAUAAUUAGGUCUACAAAAUAGCACUUUUUGGUAGUAAUCAUCUAUCCAGAUAUGUCAAUCAUAUUUCCUUUCCGGGGUCAAAUCUCUAAUGACAAGUGGUAUACUCCAAGUAAGUCCCUAGGGUCUCUUGGAAUAGAUGAAUCUCCAUGACGAUAAUCGGGCUAAUAUCAUCCUCAAACAUAUCAUCAACAUGAGUGGAAUGCCCUAACAUAAAUAAAGUGAAUCUCUCCUGAACUCUCAACGAUGAAGAUCUCAAGCAUAUUAAGAGAGUGAACUAUCUCUGGCUAAUCUGUGCUAACCAUCCAACUAUCAUCCAACAUGUCCAUCUCAGGCCCAUCAUGAAGAAAACCAUGUCAAUCAAAUCUCCCAUCUGAGAAAAACUAACGUCCUCUAUAAGAACUCUCAUCUGAUAAACUUUGACUCAUAAUCCACUAAACUCAUCAUAUGUACGAAGUCACCCUCAACAAUGUCACUGGCUAACUGGGUGGUGGGGGUGGGUGGUAAUGAAUCAUACAACAUCUCAUCCUGAAUUGGAUGCUAUCUAUCUCAUUGUCCAUCAAUUCCUUGGCUCAAACCUACUAAUGUCUCUUGAAUAGAGUCAUGGUGACUAUAAGUCAAUCAAUUGUAAUAUACUGAGGAUCCAUACCUAGCUGCUCUGAAACCCUGAUCAAUCUAUCUCCAACUCUGAUUUAAGAAGUCAAAUCCAAACUGAAGCGAAUAACACUCCUAUAAGGUACAUGACUCAUGCCCAAUUGGUGUCUCAGCUGAUUUGUGUUCAGCUGGUGCUCCUUGAUUGAGGAAGUGAUCAACAAAAUUUAUACCUAUAACACCAUACACUAGGGUAGCAAAUACAAAGCUACUAUAGUAUAGUGGCUCUAAGGAUCGUUCACUGGGAAUGAUUUGCAAGCAAUCAAGGAUACCAAUUCCAAGUGAAUUGGUCUUGUUUCAUUUCACGGUUAGCUUAAGAAGUAAAACACAAAGUUUGAUUGGUAAAGGUUUAGACUUAAACUAACUAACUUAACAGAAGUUUGGAAUAAUUUAGGAAGAAAAGCAUUCCUUGGAGAUUUAGGUUCACUGGGGUGGUUCCUCAUGCAAAAGACAUAGCUCCGGUCAGAUGGUUCAUUUCCUCGCAUUAGAGAUUCAACUUAUAGUCAAUUCUCUAACCGGUGAUGUACAGAGACUCCUUCAAUUAGAUUUCACUUUAAUUCUCUCACUGAUACAACUUGCAAUGGUUCAUGCCUCUCACGAGCACUUACCAUUCAAGGUGAUCUUUAACCUUGGAUUCCCCUUCACAAACUCGCAAGAGAUAACUAAUGGAUGUCUCCUAGGAGUCCAAAAGCUUACCAAGUGUUGGUAAUUCCAGAAAAUCCUACCUUGAAGUCACCUACCAGAGGCUCGCAAGGGGUAAACUAGUGCAUUUCCACGGUUGGAAAUCACUUGCCUUACCAAGUGUUGGCCCAGGUGACUCCAAAGUGUUUUAAGUUAACUAAAAACAUUGAAAUCACUAAAGGAUUUCACUUCCUCUUCAUUACUAGCUAAAACCACAGAGCUUUGCAUUCUUGCACUUGGAACCUUCCCCGGCAACCUUAGCUCCAAGGAAUUGGAGGUUUAGUUACUCAUUCUCUGGGGAAAACUCCUCAGAGAAUUCAUAACUUAGAAAUAAAAUGAAAAUACAAAGUGAGAAGGUAAGGCAGUAGAAAGAAAAGACCUUUUACUUACUUCCCAAAAUGUUUACAGAAGGAACUCCUCCCUGAGAACAUGCUCCCGAGAGGUAUUUAUAGCAAACUAAUAUAAAACUAAUUCUUACAAAGAUAUUUGGUCUUUUUACUAACUUAAAAACUAAGGAAUCAUGUAAUUGGUGGUUUACAAGGAGUAUUUUGGAAUUUAGACAACAAAAAUCUAAUGGAAAAUAUCUCCCAAUGUCGGUAGCAAGCUUCGGGAGGCUUCCGGAGCCAUUUCGCAGGAGAAAAGUGAGGUCUGCGAAAUUUCGCAGACACCCAAGAGGGUUGCGAAAUUAUUUCGCAAGACCAAGCUGUCUUCAUAGGGCUGCGAAGUUGGCUUCCAUCUUGAAGUUUCCAGCUCCCUUCUCGCGGCAUGGUUCGUGCAUCGUCAGAAGGAGAAACACCUUACUGUACAAAAGUGUUGCGAAAUUCUCGCAACAAAAGGCUGAUUCCGCAACACUUUAGAGUGACUGGCUUGUAAUGGCUGCAACUUCUUCGUUUCAACUCCGAAUCGUGCACCGUUUGAAGCAUUGGAUUGUUGACUUCCUGAGCUUUGAAAUGGUAUAUAGCUUGCAUCAUUUGGACUUCAGAAAGUGCUCCAAAAGUGACUGCUACGACUGUCAUCAAGAAUAUGCUUCAUGACAGAUCCUCUUUGCUUUUUCUCCUUGCAAUCCGGAUUCACUCUUGGCAAUUGAAUUCUCAACUUUGCCCAUGAUUCCUCAUAGCUCUCCUCAUUCUUGACUUGCUUUGGUGAUCACAAUACUAACAAAAACACCAAAACUUGCACAAAGUGAUCAAAAUUGCUUUAAAGGAUCCUUAACAUGCCAAUUGAGUUAAAAGGCCUAAACUACUACUCAAAAGUGUUAAAAAGGAUUAAUUAAAGGCUAUCAAAUAGCACUUUUUGAGUAGUAAUCACUCCCCCCAACCGACAUAUUGCUAGUCCCUUAGCAAUAUAGGAGAGAAAAUAAAAAAUAAAUAGCUAAUUAAUCUAAAAUUUACAACAUCAUGCUGAAAGGAAAUAAUUCUCAAGUGGCAUGAUGAUCUAAUUCUCACAUGAAUCAUUAAAGAAAUACAAACCCAAAUCUCAACAAGAGUCAUAACACUUAUGCUAAACACUGUCAAUCAAGGGAGUGCAUUAUGCAAACUGAAGUUUUAAAAUCAUUUCACUUUCUAAGAACUAAACUUCAAUCUUCCACAAAAAUCUAUGUGUAUUGGUUCCUUAGGUUCCGAGAAUAAUAUGCUAAUCUCACCCCCCAACCUAUCUCUUUUCAACACUUUAGCAAACUGACCAAAAUCAAUAAGAAAAGAACACACUUUCAUCUUCUUUUUUCUUUUUUUUCUUUUUUUUUUUUUUUUUUUUUUUUUUUUUUUUUUUUUUUUUUUUCAAGGUAGCUUUAUGGGGUACUCUUUCUGACUUGUCCAUGUAAGGGGGGUCCAUCGAUAACCCCCAACCAAUUAAGGUUUAGGGCCCCAAGUUUUAAGGAUCUUUCAACCACAAACCCCUCGAAUUUUUCCCCGGACUUUUAAAAAUGAUUUUCAAAAACCCAAGCAUCUACCAAAUGCUAACUCUACCUAUUCCCCCUUGUAACGAGCAUUGAGGUCGGUGUCCCCCAACCAAUUAAGGCUUAGGGCACCGGGUUUUAAAAAUUUUCCCCAAANNNNNNNNNNNNNNNNNNNNNNNNNNNNNNNNNNNNNNNNNNNNNNNNNNNNNNNNNNNNNNNNNNNNNNNNNNNNNNNNNNNNNNNNNNNNNNNNNNNNCAAGGUAGCUUUAUGGGGUACUCUUUCUGACUUGUCCAUGUAAUGGGGGUCCAUCGAUGACUCCCAACCAAUUAAGGUUUAGGGCACCAAGUUUUAAGGAUCUUUCAACCACUAACUCCUCGGAUUUUUCCCCGGACUUUUAAGAAUGAAUUUCUAAUACCCAAGCAUCUACCAUAUGCUAACUCUACCUAUUCACCCUUGUAACGAGCAUUGAGGUCGGUGUCUCCCAACCAAUUAAGGCUUAGGGCACCAGGCUUUAAAGAUUUUCACCAUAUACCCCUCAGACCUUGCUCGGGUUUCAAGGCAAGCAAACAAAUUUCUUUAUUUCAAAGGCUCAUUGGCCUUUUGCAGGGUGUUUCAAUUUUUAUCAAAUGAGGUCAAAUAUACCAAGUCUCAAAAUUAUUCUAAGUCAAGAGGGAAAUAGUUUUUCAUCUUAUAAUCGGAAACUAAUGUGCACAGUGUGUGGAUAGCUUAAAGUGGAAGAACUAAAUUCAAUCACAGUAGAAGUUUCAACAAUUGGACCACUUUAGUAAGCAUAAUCCAUACUCUAAGUCAAGUGAAAAACAACAGUUCAAUUUCUCUUGGUUUAAUUUUGAAAAUUUUCCUCAAAAUUCAUGGAGAAUAGAGUAACACUAGAGUAAAAAGUAAAAACUACAACUAAUUAACCAAUAUAAUUGCAAUACCAAAAAGAUUUAGAAUACUUCCUUCCUCAUACCCCCCAACCGAACUGAGCAUUGUCCUCAAUGUGAUUUGAGUGACUGUAAUCAAAGGGAGGAAGUGGUACCUCCUUGCUGAUAUCAAAUUCGAAUAUUGAUUGGGGAAAACCACAUGUUUCAAAAAGAAUAGAAUAUGUGAGAAAAGGAAAUAAGGAAACUUUAAUGCUAACUUUUAACAAGAAAUAUUCAACUUAUAUUACUUUGAGUUCAUUUGAUUACAAUGCUAAAGACAAGUAACACAAGGAAUCCCAUAUAUAGUACCAAAAUACUGGGAUUUCAUUUUAACUAAAACAAAACAAACAUGCAUAAAAACAUAAACAGCAAAUAUAUAUAAUGGUUGAUGAGUGGGGUGAUGGUGCUAAGCAGAAGGAUCUGCCUCCUCUGUAGGUGGAUCAGCUGGGACCUCGGGCUCUGGAGGUUGAGACUCUGAAGGUUGAGAGUGUGGCUCUGGUGGAGUCUCAGUGGAGGGCUCUACAGCUUGUGGCAGAUCGAAAUGGACUUGAAGCUGCCUUAGGAUGGCAGCUUGUUGAGCCUGAGAGGCUAACAUCUGCUCCUGGCAUGCUUUGAUGGCUGCCAACUCCUGAGCAAGAUUGCUCUGGGAAGCUGUAAGAGUCUCCAAUGCACGGCACAGCUCUCGAUAUUCAGAUAUAGGGAUGGCCAUCCUAGGCUCAGCUGAUGUGGAUGGCUGUGAUGGAGCAGGUGCAGGUGCAGGUGCAGCUGGUGGAGCUCGAGGGAUGGCAGGAGUAGCAAGUGUUAUACCUUCAGGUGGAUGUCUUGGGGAGGCUCUCCUUGCAGCUGGCUGAGGCUGCCCAGGCUGAUCAAUUUUGUAGGCCGUCAUAUUAUUCCAUUUAUCAAGGGUAAAUGGCUCACGGCAUAUUCUCUUUCUUUCCUGCUGAGGCUCAGAGGGGUAUCCGAGAUGCUCCAAAACUUGGCAUAGCAGCCUUGGGAAGAGGAGUGGAAUGCAAUCUGCUCUUUGAAGCUUCUUCUUGUGAACCUUCUCCUCAAAGUAUAGAAGGGCUGCCAUGAUCAGAUGAUGAGGCCCAAAGAAGAAUCCUUCUGACAUUUUGUACAAGGCUUCCAGGAGAAUUCCCCUUCUUUGGGUCCAAUGCUGCAGGGGAUAGAUAUUAUGCCUCAAAAAGGCAUCAAUCAAAAACAUCACUGGAGGUAGCUCCCCCCUCAACAGGUGUGAUCGAUUGGCAGCUCCUCUGGACAGGGUGCUAACCAUCUCUAGCUCAGUUGGAUUUGUCCAAGCUUUAAAAUUGUCGAAUUGGGUUGGCUCAAAAGGAAUUUGCAGGGCUUCAGCAAUAUGUCUUGCUCCCAAAAUACCAUGCCUUCCAUCAAUAAUAAAAUGAAUCAAGGUUGGAUUUCUUACUUCUUUGGUUGUCAUGGUCUGGUAGAAAUCAGUGACUACCCGAGGAUAGAAAAAAUCCCUUGGAGCUAACAGAUGCUCCAUAUGAUAUCUCCUCAGCAGCUGGAAGGAUUGGGCAAGCUCUGGCCUUACUCUAAAUGUUGCUAAAUCGAAGCACAAUUCAGAAUGGAAUGCCCGAGUUCGACAAUCCAAGUUUCCUUCGAUUGGGGGCUGAGGCAGCAUUGGCCUUCGGAUCACUUCUUCCAGAGGUGCUUCAGCUGCAAUUUGGGGCUCUGGAAUUGGCGCUUGAGGCUCCUGAGCUUUUUCUUGGGGUGCCGGAGAUGGUACCGGCGAUGGAAUUGGAGUUGCUUCUGGUGAGGGAAUUGGCGAGGCUACCGGUGACGGCACUGGAAUUUGUACCGGUGAAGGAUUUGGUGAUUUCUCAGGGGAUUGCUCAGUCAAAUCAAUUGGUUUAGAGCUCUCAACCCUGGCUUUCUUCUUCAAUGGCUGACCACCUGACCUGGUUAAAUAUCGCCUUGCUGGCGGCUUUGGUGGCGCCGGCUUCACUGGAGGAGGAUUUGGUCUCGACGGCGAAGGCUUUGGAGCAGGUUCUGGAACCGAACCUGGGCUUGGCUCCUUUCGCAGACUCCUUUUGCGGUUCGAAGGGGAUGAAGACUUUGCCCCUCGCGUUCGUGCCAUUUUGGAAUAUCGAUCUUUGGCCGGCGCUGCUAAACGGAGAAGACGACGGGAGACACGGACGGCGCGGCUUGGUGAAGAAGACGAAGGGGCUGCGAGAAUGGUGCUCUGAUUUUUGAAACCCUUUUCGCAGCACUUUUGACCGGUAUAAAUAGAAAAAACGGAAGCCCAGGGGUCAAUUUAAGUUUCGCAACAAAACGGCAAUUUCGCAGCAACUUGCCAUUUUCGCAGCAACUUCGCAGUGAGUUUCGCAGCUGCGAAAUUGAUGUCACUGUGCUGCGAAGUGGCACUCGUGUGCCAAAACCACUUUCGCAAUUGCGAAAUGCUCUGCGGAAUGGGACUUUUGGUGCGAAAUCAGGCUUUACCAUUUCGCAAUGAGUUUCGCAGCUGCGAAACGGAUGCUACUGUUCUGCGAAGUGGCACUCGUGUGCCAAAUUCACUUUCGCAGCUGCGAAAUACACUCGCAGAGACUUCUACAGUGCUGCGGAAUGGUUUGGCAGCAAAAUGCCGAUUUCGCAGAGGUUUCCUUCACCCUGCGAAAUUUCGCAGAGCUCUGUUUCUCCCCUGUUUCUGCUCUGUUUCGGCUCCAAUUUCGACCCGAUUUUUUUCUUUUCAAUCCCCUUGAAAUUUCUUCCACCUGGGAUCAUAUAAAACGAUUAAAACACACCUAAAAACAUGAUUUAAAAUCAAAAACUAAGAUCAAAAGCAUGGAAAGAACUUGAAAAUUUACAAAAUUUACAAAAAUUUUGGACUGUGGUUAAACCACGUCCAGCAAACCCAUUUCACUUAGGCUUUUUGAGGUUCAAGGAGGUUGAUUGCCUCCUUUUCUGAUUUGAAUGACUCCAUGAACGGCUUAAGACGAUAUCCAUUGACUCUAAAGCUGUCCUUGCCAUUGGAAUUCAAUAAGUCCACCACUCCAUUGGAAUAUACUCGGUGAAUAACAAAUGGACCAAUCCACCUUGACUUGAGCUUCCCAGGAAAGAUAUGGAGUCUUGUGUCAUACAUCAAAACUUUUUGCCCUUCCUGAAAUUCCUUGUUGGAGAUGAGUUGAUCAUGCCACUUCUUCAUCCUCUGUUUUGCAACUUUGGAAUUGAUAUAAGCAUUAUUUCUCAAUUCCUCCAUCUCAUUAAGGUCUAGAAAUCUCUUUUCUCCUGCCUUAAUCAGAUCCAUGUUCAGCUUCUUUAUGGCCCACCAAGCUUUGUAUUCAACUUCCACAGGGAGAUGGCAUGCUUUGCCAUAGACAAGACGAUAGGGAGACAUCCCUAGAAUAGUCUUAUAAGCUGUUCUAUAUGCCCACAAUGAAUCAUGAAGCCUAAUAGACCAAUCCUUCCUGUUGGAAUUCACCACUUUCAUCAAGAUAUUCUUUAUUUCCCUGUUAGCUAGCUCAACUUGCCCGGAAGUCUGAGGAUGAUAAGGUGUGGCCACCUUAUGCUUCACUCCAUACUUGGAUAACAGAGCUUCAAAAGGUUUGUUGCAAAAAUGAGCUCCUCCAUCACUGAUUAUGGCCUUGGGCACCCCAAAUCUUGAGAAAAUGUUCUCUUUAAGAAACUUGAGAACCACCCUGUGAUCAUUUUGCUUACAGGGGAUUGCCUCAACCCAUUUAGAAACAUAAUCUACCCCCACCAAGAUGUAAGAAUUACCAAAAGACAUUGGGAAAGGUCCCAUGAAGUCAAUGCCCCAUACNNNNNNNNNNNNNNNNNNNNNNNNNNNNNNNNNNNNNNNNNNNNNNNNNNNNNNNNNNNNNNNNNNNNNNNNNNNNNNNNNNNNNNNNNNNNNNNNNNNNNNNNNNNNNNNNNNNNNNNNNNNNNNNNNNNNNNNNNNNNNNNNNNNNNNNNNNNNNNNNNNNNNNNNNNNNNNNNNNNNNNNNNNNNNNNNNNNNNNNNNNNNNNNNNNNNNNNNNNNNNNNNNNNNNNNNNNNNNNNNNNNNNNNNNNNNNNNNNNNNNNNNNNNNNNNNNNNNNNNNNNNNNNNNNNNNNNNNNNNNNNNNNNNNNNNNNNNNNNNNNNNNNNNNNNNNNNNNNNNNNNNNNNNNNNNNNNNNNNNNNNNNNNNNNNNNNNNNNNNNNNNNNNNNNNNNNNNNNNNNNNNNNNNNNNNNNNNNNNNNNNNNNNNNNNNNNNNNNNNNNNNNNNNNNCUAGCAAGGCUUUCUCCACUACCUUUCCUCCAAUCAUGACUGAAAUGGUAGGACUUCCAGGGUCUUUAUACUUCAAAGGAGACUUACACUGUAAGAUUGCACUUACUUGCUCAGUCAAGAAGGCUUUCUUGUUUACAGUCAACCCUCUUUUGAUAGUACACAAGUCCUUUAGGAAUUUUGCAUACGUUGGAACUUGUUUGAUCAUAUCCAGCAGUGGAAUAUUAACUUUCACUUGCCUCAAUACUUCCAGGAUUUCAGCUGCAUUUCUAACCCCCUUUUUCCCAUGUAAUGCUUGAGGAAAAGGUGGAGAAGUUGAUUUCUUCAGCAUUUCUUCCUUCAGAAGCUCUUUCUCUGGAAUUGCUUUGAUUGUUGAAUCAGAUUCCUUCUUUUCUUCACUGAUCUCACUGCCUUUAUCUUCCAUUUCCUUCCCUUUCUUUAUCUCUUCUUCUUUCUCAACAUGUGGCUUAGGUGUUGGCUGCUCAAUUUUCUUACCACUCCUUAGAGUGAUCAAGGCUUUGACAUCUUUCACCUGUGAUGAUUCUCCCUCAAGGCUUUCUACUUCAUGGACACCUUUGGGAUUUUGGUUAGGUUGAGAAGGAAAUCUUCCCUUUUCUUGCAGUGUAUUCAAAUUUGUAAGCCUGGAGAUUGAAUAUUGGAUGUUAUCAAAUUUUUGAUUCAUAUCAUUUUGCAUUCCAUCCAUUCUUUUGUUCAACAUACUCUCCAUUCUAUCCAUUCUUUGAUCAACUCUGUCCAUUCUUUGAUCCACUCGAGCAUUGGUGGCUUCUUGCUUUCCCACAAAAUCUCCCACUACCUUGCUGAGAUUAGCUAUUAUUUGUUCAAUACUUGAAGAUUGCUGAGAUGGUGGAUCCGGCUGUUGGUAUUGAGUUGCUCUGGCCUUCCAUGAGAAAUUUGGAUGAUUCCUCCAACUUGAAUUGUAGGUAUUUCCAUAAGGAGCAUUGUUAUUGGGCCUAAAUUGUCCAACAACAUUUGCUUGAUCUCUAUACAUUUCCCUUUCAACUGAAAUUGCAGGGCAUUCCUCUACCAAAUGUUCAAACGAUUGACAAUUGGGACACAACUUCACUUGCACUGGUGCUUCAGCAACAGCUUGCACUUCAUGUAUUCUUUUCAGCUCCAGCUCCUCCAAUCUUCUUGUCAUAGCUGCCAACUUUGCUUUCAUGUCAUCAUCUUCUUUUAAAUUAUACAUCCCAGCUUUUGCAUUGUAAGCAUUCAACUGAGACUUCAUCUUUCCCACUUCUCCUUUAGUUGGUUCAUCCCAUCCCCUUGAAACAUCAACUACAUAGCUCAAGAAAUCCAUAGCUUCCUCUGGAUUUUUGCUCAUGAAAUCUCCUCCACACAUUGUCUCGAGGAGUUGCUUCAUUGAGGAGGACAUACCAUCAUAGAAAUAACUCACCAAUAGCCAAGUAUCAAAGCCAUGGUGAGGACAAGCAUUUAUAGCUUCCAUGUAUCUUUCCCAACACUCAUAGAAUUUCUCAUUCUCUUUAGCUGAGAAGUUUGAAAUUUGCCUUUUCAAGCCAUUUGUUCUAUGAGUAGGAAAAAAUUUCUUAAGGAACUCAGCUUGUAAAUCAGUCCAAGAGCGGAUACUCCUUGGCCUUAAAGAAUUAAGCCAAAUUUUGGCCUUAUCCUUUAAAGUAAAAGGAAAUAACUUAAGCCUCAUCAAGUCAAUUGAAGCUCCUCCCUCUUGGAAUGUAUUACAAACAUCUUCAAAUUCCUUGAUGUGUGCAUACGGAUUCUCACUUUCCAUCCCAUGGAAAGUUGGUAGAAGUGGAACAAGAUACGGUCUGAUCACUAGCUGCUCUGUAGGGGGCACUAUACAUGAUGGUGCACUCAUACGAGGUGGAUGCAUACGGUCCCUCAUUGAUCUGAAUUCAUUGAGAUUGUCUUGACGACCUUGGUGACUAUGCUGAUCUUCAGGUGCAGCCUCCAUGAUAUUCAAGAUUACUUCAAAUUCUCCUUUCUGAGGUGUAUCACACUUAACAAGCCUACCUCCAAUGUCUCGUAUCCACUUGGGCAUACACAACUAGUAUUCAGCUGCAACUAAAAUGAAAACAGAGGACAACAAGAACAGAGGACUACAAUAGCAAAAUUAAACUAGACUAAAAUUUAAAGAGAUAAACUUAGAUUAUAAAUAAACAAAGAAAGAAUGAAAAUUAGUAAAGUGAAAGAAACUUUACCAACUUGUGAUGAAAAUCACAAGUGCUCAACAAUGGUAUCACAAUGAACUUGACACUCAUUCCCCGGCAACGGCGCCAUUUGACUCAUGCCCAAUUGGUGUCUCAGCUGAUUUGUGUUCAGCUGGUGCUCCUUGAUUGAGGAAGUGAUCAACAAAAUUUAUACCUAUAACACCAUACACUAGGGUAGCAAAUACAAAGCUACUAUAGUAUAGUGGCUCUAAGGAUCGUUCACUGGGAAUGAUUUGCAAGCAAUCAAGGAUACCAAUUCCAAGUGAAUUGGUCUUGUUUCAUUUCACGGUUAGCUUAAGAAGUAAAACACAAAGUUUGAUUGGUAAAGGUUUAGACUUAAACUAACUAACUUAACAGAAGUUUGGAAUAAUUUAGGAAGAAAAGCAUUCCUUGGAGAUUUAGGUUCACUGGGGUGGUUCCUCAUGCAAAAGACAUAGCUCCGGUCAGAUGGUUCAUUUCCUCGCAUUAGAGAUUCAACUUANNNNNNNNNNNNNNNNNNNNNNNNNNNNNNNNNNNNNNNNNNNNNNNNNNNNNNNNNNNNNNNNNNNNNNNNNNNNNNNNNNNNNNNNNNNNNNNNNNNNGUGAUGUACAGAGACUCCUUCAAUUAGAUUUCACUUUAAUUCUCUCACUGAUACAACUUGCAAUGGUUCAUGCCUCUCACGAGCACUUACCAUUCAAGGUGAUCUUUAACCUUGGAUUCCCCUUCACAAACUCGCAAGAGAUAACUAAUGGAUGUCUCCUAGGAGUCCAAAAGCUUACCAAGUGUUGGUAAUUCCAGAAAAUCCUACCUUGAAGUCACCUACUAGAGGCUCGCAAGGGGUAAACUAGUGCAUUUCCACGGUUGGAAAUCACUUGCCUUACCAAGUGUUGGCCCAGGUGACUCCAAAGUGUUUUAAGUUAACUAAAAACAUUGAAAUCACUAAAGGAUUUCACUUCCUCUUCAUUACUAGCUAAAACCACAGAGCUUUGCAUUCUUGCACUUGGAACCUUCCCCGGCAACCUUAGCUCCAAGGAAUUGGAGGUUUAGUUACUCAUUCUCUGGGGAAAACUCCUCAGAGAAUUCAUAACUUAGAAAUAAAAUGAAAAUACAAAGUGAGAAGGUAAGGCAGUAGAAAGAAAAGACCUUUUACUUACUUCCCAAAAUGUUUACAGAAGGAACUCCUCCCUGAGAACAUGCUCCCGAGAGGUAUUUAUAGCAAACUAAUAUAAAACUAAUUCUUACAAAGAUAUUUGGUCUUUUUACUAACUUAAAAACUAAGGAAUCAUGUAAUUGGUGGUUUACAAGGAGUAUUUUGGAAUUUAGACAACAAAAAUCUAAUGGAAAAUAUCUCCCAAUGUCGGUAGCAAGCUUCGGGAGGCUUCCGGAGCCAUUUCGCAGGAGAAAAGUGAGGUCUGCGAAAUUUCGCAGACACCCAAGAGGGUUGCGAAAUUAUUUCGCAAGACCAAGCUGUCUUCAUAGGGCUGCGAAGUUGGCUUCCAUCUUGAAGUUUCCAGCUCCCUUCUCGCGGCAUGGUUCGUGCAUCGUCAGAAGGAGAAACACCUUACUGUACAAAAGUGUUGCGAAAUUCUCGCAACAAAAGGCUGAUUCCGCAACACUUUAGAGUGACUGGCUUGUAAUGGCUGCAACUUCUUCGUUUCAACUCCGAAUCGUGCACCGUUUGAAGCAUUGGAUUGUUGACUUCCUGAGCUUUGAAAUGGUAUAUAGCUUGCAUCAUUUGGACUUCAGAAAGUGCUCCAAAAGUGACUGCUACGACUGUCAUCAAGAAUAUGCUUCAUGACAGAUCCUCUUUGCUUUUUCUCCUUGCAAUCCGGAUUCACUCUUGGCAAUUGAAUUCUCAACUUUGCCCAUGAUUCCUCAUAGCUCUCCUCAUUCUUGACUUGCUUUGGUGAUCACAAUACUAACAAAAACACCAAAACUUGCACAAAGUGAUCAAAAUUGCUUUAAAGGAUCCUUAACAUGCCAAUUGAGUUAAAAGGCCUAAACUACUACUCAAAAGUGUUAAAAAGGAUUAAUUAAAGGCUAUCAAAUAGCACUUUUUGAGUAGUAAUCACUCCCCCCAACCGACAUAUUGCUAGUCCCUUAGCAAUAUAGGAGAGAAAAUAAAAAAUAAAUAGCUAAUUAAUCUAAAAUUUACAACAUCAUGCUGAAAGGAAAUAAUUCUCAAGUGGCAUGAUGAUCUAAUUCUCACAUGAAUCAUUAAAGAAAUACAAACCCAAAUCUCAACAAGAGUCAUAACACUUAUGCUAAACACUGUCAAUCAAGGGAGUGCAUUAUGCAAACUGAAGUUUUAAAAUCAUUUCACUUUCUAAGAACUAAACUUCAUCUUCCACAAAAAUCUAUGUGUAUUGGUUCCUUAGUCCGAGAUAAUAUGCUAAUCUCACCCCCCAACCUAUCUCUUUCAACACUUUAGCAAACUGACCNNNNNNNNNNNNNNNNNNNNNNNNNNNNNNNNNNNNNNNNNNNNNNNNNNNNNNNNNNNNNNNNNNNNNNNNNNNNNNNNNNNNNNNNNNNNNNNNNNNNUCCAAAAGUGACUGCUACGACUGUCAUCAAGAAUAUGCUUCAUGACAGAUCCUCUUUGCUUUUUCUCCUUGCAAUCCGGAUUCACUCUUGGCAAUUGAAUUCUCAACUUUGCCCAUGAUUCCUCAUAGCUCUCCUCAUUCUUGACUUGCUUUGGUGAUCACAAUACUAACAAAAACACCAAAACUUGCACAAAGUGAUCAAAAUUGCUUUAAAGGAUCCUUAACAUGCCAAUUGAGUUAAAAGGCCUAAACUACUACUCAAAAGUGUUAAAAAGGAUUAAUUAAAGGCUAUCAAAUAGCACUUUUUGAGUAGUAAUCAGUACAAAGGCAUGAAAAGAGAAAUGACAUGAAGGAAGCUCAAAAGAUGUGGAAACGUACUAAUCACAAUGCGGAAAGGUGGCCUAACUAAAACUCAAACAUGUACCAAUCUCUGAGCACACCAAAAGGAGACCAUGAAGAGGAUAACUGAACCCAAUUAUGACCAAGGCAGCUCUGAAGGUCCACAGAUGCACCCAUGUGUAGGAAUAAAAUCUUAAUUGGAUCUAGGCUAGCUUACAAGGUUGAGGUGGCUCUAUAGGAUAAAAUAGGUGGGUUAAAGGAUCCCUAGUAGAAGCGAUCGUACCCUCCGGUGGUACGCAACCCUCUGCACGCCUCCAAGGAGACGGGGUGCUUCCAUGCAAGGUGGUCAUCACCUCCACACAUGCACUGCCUCGCGUUCCCAGGGGGUUUCUUAAUGGUGAAGGCUCUCUAAUCUCUCAAUACUCAAGGAUAAUCUAAAGUGCACAAUGAAGGAUGUGGGUGCAUCCGAAAAACUUAAGAUUUAAAGUGAGAUAGUGAACGAAGACAAGCAAUCAUACGAACAUGCAAGAGAAAAGGUUGUCAUGCAACAAGCAGUCAUGCGAAGCAGAUAAAUAUCAAACAAUCAAAGUCCUAUCUAGCAUAUGUGAGAGUGAAUCAUGCUAAAGUGAACAAACAGUUAAGUGAUCACAUCAAACAGUCAUGCGAAGCAAAUAAAUAUCAAACAAACAAAGUCCUAUCUAACAUAUGUGAGAGUGAAUCAUGCUAAAGUGAGCAAAACAAUCAAGUGAUCAUCUAAGGCAAUCAAACAUGUUAAGAUAGCAAACCAAACAAGCAAGCAAAUCGAAUCACCUUGCCUGAAAAAAAAAAGGUACCCACUAAUCGACCAAUUAAACGCCACAUUUUCCUUAACUAGUGUUCAAGCUUGAUCAUCAAAGUCCCCAGCGGAGUCGCCAAUUUGUGGACCCACAUUUUUCACUUGCGUCCCCACUCGAUCGACGAGACUAGCUUUUUAUUUGUGAAAAAAUAUUUAGUUUUGGAAAAGUUGGAGCCGCCACUUAUUUUAUUUUUAUUUUAAAAGGAAAAUAAAACAAGAAAGAAAAACCCUAAAAUGUGACUCUAUAAUUUUUGGAAAAGCAUGUCUUUGAAAAACCCGAGUCCAGGUCCGGGGUUCAGGUUACUUAUUGGGAAGGUACCUCUAGGAGAUAGCACCCCUCUAAGCCCUAAAGAGGUCUUUACUGACUAAAUUGGGGAAAUGGGGCAAUUAAUUGAUUAAUUGUAGAUACCUAAGUAAGCUAGGUGAUUUCAGAAAGUAGCAUACUAAAUAAGGAGAUCAAUCAGAAUAAAGGAGAGUUAGAGUGCGUACCUGAACCACUUCUUAAGCGUUAUCAUAAAACAUCAAUGGUUAAUUCAGAAGUAUGACACACGACAUGCAUUUUAUUAAGGAUGAUGAAACAAGCAUUGAGACAAUCAAGUAUGGCAUCAAACAAGGGCAAUGACACAUAUUCAUGAAAUUUUGGGAACGUACCUAGAUAGCAUAUAUAACUCCUAAUGCGCUUCCUCAGGACAUGGGGGUUAGAUAAUAAAUAAUAAAUAAUAAAUAAUGAAUAAUAAAUCCUAGCAUGCUUAUCUAAUUAAUUAGCAAAAAUUAUCAGAAUUCAGAAUAAUUAAUUAUCAUACAUAUCUUGCAUACAAUUCCCAAAAAGAAAAAAUGUAAAUAUGAUUACAAUAAAUAGCAAGGUGGUAGCAAAAAAUAAAUUUUGAAAAAGAUUUUCUUAUGUAGGGGUUUCACCAAUUCCCCAAAUUAAUAUACACGAAUUUAGCCUAAAAUUGUCCCAUUUAUUUGGGACCACAAGCUUUGAUUCGCGUUUUGUUUAAAACCAAAAUUUUUGUUGAAAAUUGAGAAGGAUGCAAACCGAUCGAAAUAUGGUUGCUAAUUUUAAGAAAAUGAGAUUUUUUAUUUAUUUAUUCUAAGGACUCUAAAUGAAUUUUUUUUAAAUAGAUUUUUAAAGGGAUCUUUUAAGAAAAGUGUUGGAUUUCAAAAUAAAAGAAAUUAAUUUGAAAACGACAAGACAUAAGGAACAAAAUACCAAGCAAAACAAAAGUGAUUAAAAUUGCAAAGUAGAGUUUUUGACAACUGAGAAAAUUGAAGUGGUGGGAAUGGAGGUCAAUCUUCACUAUUUUCCGAUGGCCUCCAAAAAGUAAAUUUUACCAUAGACUACCAAAGCAAUAAACUAUUCGAACUUAGAUCAUAUAAGCUAACGAUAUACCCACCAAGAAUUAAUGACUAUUUUCGAGAAACACAUCAAUUAAAAAUAACAAUCAAGAAUUAGCACAUGAUCAAUCAAACACACAAACGCAUCUAGACUGGUUAAAAUGGACAAAAUUAAGUCAAGGCAAAUGUGAAUUUUCAGUCAUAAAAUUAAUUUUAUUAAUAAGCUAAUAUUAUAGAAAAUACCUAAACUAAAUAGAUGAGUGAAGCCAAAUCAGAGUAAACUAAAAGCAUGAACUUUCAAAUAUAGAAUCAAUUUUAUUAAUGAAUUAAAACUAUAAAAGUACCUAAACUAAUCAAAAUGAACCAAAUUAAAUUGAAGCAAGCUAAAAAAAAAGGUGAGCUUUCGAACAUGGGAUUAAUUUUAUUAAUAAACUAAAAUUAUAAAAUUACCUAAACUAAUUAAAAUGAACAAAAUUAAAUAAAAGAAAACUAAAAGUAAGAACUUUCAAACAUGGAAUUAUUUUUUUCAAUGAUCUAAAACUACAAAAGUAUUUAAACUAAAUAGAUGAGUUUAAUUUAACCAAGGUAGAAUAAAAGAAACAUGAUUUUUUCACAUAAAAUUGAUUAAACCAAAAAGUUAGAAACUCACAAACACAUCUAAACUAAAAGAAAAAUCAACACUAAAGUAAAUUGAAAUGAAAAAAUAAGAACUUUAUCAUGUAGAAUUAAUUAAACUAAUUAUAAAAAAAACAUCUAAACUAACGAAAUAAAUUAAAAUUAAACUAAAAUAAAAUUUAAAAAAAGAAAAAGAAACUUGCCUUCAAGAAUGCAUAUUGCUGAAUCUGUUGUAGGAAGACCGCUCUUGGAUGCGUGUUGUUCUUUGCGUGUUUCAGAAAAUCAUCUCUUAAUGCGUGGCUUAUGUGGUGGCCAUCUUCCUCUUUCCAUAAGAUACAAUUCCAUAAGUACCCGAACCAAGUUCUUUUAUGUAUUCCAGGUCAGAAUUUUAUUUUAUUUUUUAUAAUCUGCAGCACUCUAGUGGCUAGAAGAGAAUAAAAUAUGGCCUGGUUGUGUAGUUGACAAUGAUGGGAAUUGGAGGAUUCAUCGUUUUCAAAGAUGCAUGGAUGGAUGGGCUGCUGUCCAGAUGGUUCCGUCAGUGAGUUCAAACAGCCGCCUCUUUGCUCUCAAAUCUCCUUGCACUGAUCCCUUCAAAACAGCCCCUCUCACACUCUCUAAACUCUCUCUUUUAUAUCCCUUGAAAUAGCCUCUCGCAUGCUCUCAAAACUCUCUCUUCGGAUCAUCUCAAAUAGCAGCUCCUCACGCUCUGAAAAUGCGGACUGAUCUUUGUGCGAACAACAGCCUAUGAUCCCUUCAAAAUGCCAACUAAUCUCCUCCCAAACGGCAUCCUCAAAGGCUCUAAAAAAUCCCUCAUCUGAUCACUUCAAACAGCAGCCUCUCAUGCUUCAAAACGCAGGCUGAUCCCUUCCAAACAGUCGCCUCCUCCUUUAUAUGGCGGUUUCACUCUAAUAUUUCUUUCCUUUUCGUCGAUGCACGUGAUAUAGGAAAGUGCAUAGAUGUGGUUCACAUUGGAGAUUUCCCAAGGAUGCAGCCGCAUGUUGUUUGGUAAGUCAUUAGAUCAGUUGACUUUUCUUUCGAAAAAAAACCCAAAGGAAUCUCCCUUACAGCCCACUAUAUGCGUGCUGUGUGGCCACUUCCUUCCUAUUUUGGUUUUCCUUGAUAAAUUAUCCACCUUGUCAUCUCUAAGUAACGCAUGGCACCCAGAGUGCUCCUUCUCAAGUAGUUGGUUUGCAAAUACUGACAGCAACUCAUUCUGGACUUUCUCAAGCAGCUUUGGUUCACUUCUAUCCUCGGCAGAAUAUGAAGUUUUUAAUCUUGAAUUGACUGCUACUGUGGGGGCUUCAGGCUGAUCCUUCAACCCAGAAUUAGAUGAUGAGUCCACUAAAUUCUCACUAUUUGUCACAGCAACAUCAAUGGCAGAGUUAAAAUCAUCAACUUGAUCCUGUUUCUUCAACUCCUCAUAACUAUCAAUAAUCUCCUGUGCUGCACGAACAAAAUCAGCACCUUUUCCUUGACAUUUGGUAAGAAGAGAUUCUUUUUUCUCUUCUAUAUCAGAAUCUUCGUCAUCGAAGAACCAAUCUUCAUCCUCAUUCCAAGGGUCUGCUCCAAAAUCAAGGCUUUAGGAUUUAAUAUCUUUUGGUACUUCAAACCGGACAACCCCAUCUUUAACAGUAGCAAGCUCUCUCAAUAAUUUCCUCAUGCAAAAUAGAAUAAAAUUAAAUUGAAAAUAAAAAUAAAAUAAAAAUUAGAAGAAAAGAGAAUAAACUAAUGGAAAUCAUGAGAUUGGUAAUAAAAUAAAAUAUGAUUUAAAAGAAAAGAAAGAGAACAAUGAGAGACUAGAUUAUAUAUCCAUCAUUCAAUAAGGGGGCUAUAUGCACAUUUUGGAGUCUAAACAAUUCAAGCAAUUUCCUAUUAGAUAAGUGAAUAAAUAAAAUAAAAAUAAAAAUAAAAAUUGUAAUAGUAAUAAUAAUGACAAUGAUAAUAAUAAACAAAUAAAGAGUAAAAAAUGAAAAUGAAUAAACAAAAUAAAUAUAAUUAUCGAAUACAUGCAAUAAUAAUAAUAAUAAUAAUAAUAAAAGUUAUCUAUAUAUAUACAUAUAAAAGUUAAGCCCGAUGAAGUGUUUAAACGGGCUUACAUGGGUGCCUAAUGAACUAAGUGUCCUAAAGUGAUCGGGAUAUUGUCUAAGUGACCUAAACAUGCUUAAGAACUAUCCUAAAAAGGAAUGGAAAGCUUAAGUCUAAAUCAAAACUGCCAAGGGUCACAAUAAAGGGGUUAGGCAAUCCCUUAACUAGAGUCUCCAAGGUGGCUCAAGAAAGGUAAGUAGCGUGAGUAGAUAUGGGCCACCAAGGAGCUAACUGUAAAGUAUCGACCAAGUAUCUAAUAGGACAUGUGCUAGGAGGACAAAAUUGAGGGUCAACAAAUAUGCCCCUCUUCGGUAGAGAUCACGAGUGUAAGGAAUGUGAGUAAAAAAAAUAAAAAUAAAAACGAAUAAUGAGAGGAACGAAGUGAACUAUACCGAAGAACUAAAGAAGGACCAAAUAUUUUGUCUUAGUACAUGGCGAGAGUAAGGUCGGAACAUGGGUCUGCAACGACAAUGAUGGAACAACUCUACGUGGGGGAAUGGCAGUAAAGAGAGAAAGUAUGUGAUGAGUAGCACAAAGAUGGAAAGAGAUGAAAAUGAUGACUCAAAGUUAUGGAUGAGAUGAAUAACUCUAGAUCAUGGACAAGAUGAACGACGCUGGGUCAAAAAUAGGACAAACGACUCUAGGUCGGAAAUAGGAUGAACGACUCUGGGUCGGAAAUAGGAUGAACGACUCUAGGUCGGAAAUAGGAUGAACGACUCUGGGUCGUAAACAGGCUGUCAAUUGCCAUGAUUCACCAAGCUACUAUAGUACAUGGACUCUGAACCUUGAGAGGAUAUUGAGUUUAUGUCAAAAUUAAUAGGAGGCUUUGACUUAUGGGUGAGACCCUAAAGUGGUUAUAUAUUCCUAUGGAUUAGGUCACUAUUGAUGAAGGCUGGUGGCAAUAGGUAUUCUCAAUAGAGGCACUAUAUCUCAUGGGAUUAAGACAAUGUAUCCCCUUGGGUGAUCUAAAGGACAUGUGAUCAUGAAAUUUGUGACCACAGUAAUUCCUUUAGUGGAAUUUGACAUAUGCUUCUUUGAGCUAGAGUAUGUCAUUUGAUCACAUAAUAAGUGAGAUCUAUAACUUAAGGAUUUGAGAGGUAAUCUUGAUAGCUUACAGACUUGAGUACUAGGUACCUUAUAAUAAUUAAACUAACAAAAUUACCUUACAAAGUCUACUUGAAUUUAGACAAUUUGUAAGAUCAUAAAAGCAAAUUUUAUGGGAUGAAACUAGGUGUUUCUUCUUGGGUUAUAGCCUAUAUUAUUUUAAAUAAAUAAAUCUGGUCUUCACAUGUAUUCAAAAUAGCAUUUAACGUUCCAGAUUUCAAAAAUAACAUUAAAAAAAAAUUAAGGUGAUACAACUAUGCAAGAACAUAUAUCAUAAAAAAAGAGUAAGAAGACAUAUUAGAGAUUUUACAUCAAUGAAACAUCUUUAUAGAUAUUGGGUAAUUUAUUUGAUAAAUUUAAUUAUUAACAAUUAUUUAAAAAGCAAACAAUAAUUAAAGAAAUUAUAAUUAAGUUUGAUAAUUAAAUUUUAUUAGAUAACUUAAUAAAAAAUUUCACUUCUUGAGUGAAAAAUUACAAUAUUGAAUGAGAUGAAAUUAGACCACUCUAGCUUACUCAUAGCUUGAGUAAAUUGAAUCUAGCUCAUGCUCUAGCCUCGUAGAGACAACCUUUAUCUAAUAGAACAAAAAUAAGAUGGUAUUAUUUAUUUUUGGAUAACUAUAUAUAACAAAGCAUUGAAAUUGUGAUAAAUUUAUAUGAUGUAAUCUUCCAUAUUUUUAAUAUUUUAUUAUUAUUAUUUAUAUGAAAUAAUAUAAAUAACAAAUUACACUACAUAUUAAUUACUCAAAUCAUAUUUUUAUAUUAUUCAUAACAAUAAUAUUAUUCUAUAGCAAAACAUUUAAAUUUAAAUAAAUUUAUAUUAUAGUAUUUAAUCUUCUAUUUCUUCAAUUAUUUUAUUAUUAUUUAUACAAAAUAAUCGAAUAUAAAUAUUAAUUGCUACCAUAAUAUAUAUUGUAUUAUUUCAUAAUAAUGCGACUAUUAUAUCAAAUUAAGAAUAUACCAUUUAAUAAUAAAAUAAAUCAUCUAGGUAUUUAUCAAUAUUAAUUAUUUAAUAAUAUCACAACUUAAUAACACUAUUUAAUGAUAAAAUCACUCAAUUCAUUGGUGUUGUGUGACUCAUGUUUGAUAAAAUUGAAUGGGUGGUUGCUAAUAUGCACGUUUACCAAGAGUUAUGGUUUUUUCUCUAGCGGUUUAGGGGAUCCAUCCGAGAGGGAAAAUUUUUGUACUAGAAGGGUGAGAAUAGCUAAGGGAGAAAAAAAAGUGCUAAGGGAGACAAGGUUAAUUGUUUUCUUCUUAGGGAGAUCUCUAUUAUAUAUUGUUGUAUGGUGAGGUAUGUGCAUAAAAGCUCGAUUCAUAUAAGAGUUUUGAGGGCGUAAUUUUCGGUGAUGGUGCACCAUCCAAGUCCCUUUCCCUUUAUGGAUGCAGAUCAAAUUGGUCAAACCAUGUAAAUAAUUGUGCGUGUGUGUGUGUGUUUUUUUUUUAAUUGCACUACUGUUAAUUGAAUUCUUGUGUUAGUUUUUGCAUAUCGCAUCUUGUUAUUUGGUUAUUUGUUUUUUGUUUUUCAACAGUUUAAGGUUUAAUAGUUAGGAAAUAAUAUAGUCAUCAACUAAAAACCUUGGUUGGGAAGAAAAAAAAAGUUGUAACUUUUAGUGAUGAAAUUAUUUUUAUUGCUAAAAAUUAGAUUUAGUGAUACAAAAAUUUCAUAGGCAAAAAAUCUAUCUUCAUCACAAAAGUGUUUGCGCCAAAAAAAAAAAGUGAUAAAUUUUCCUACCCCAUAUUUUGGUGAUGAAAAUGUGAAAUUCAUCAAGAAAAGUUUGUAGGAAAUUCACGUUAGUGACAAUAUUUAAAAUUUCAAUUAGUUUUAGAGAUAAUAUUUUAAUUCAUCCCUAAAUUUUCCUUGGGAAAAGCACGUUUUCUUGUUGGAUCAUUAGAAUGAAGUCUACUUUAGGUAGAUCAUGAUCUUAUUAUUAUAUAGAGAAACCCUCUCUAAUUAAUAUUUUGGUCGUAACCUUGGAAAGUUUCUUAAAGCAAGAUUGACAUACCAUUUAUGUUUAACCCUUAGAUCAUGCAAGUGAAACCACUUUAAAUGAUUCUUCCACUUCAUAUUUUAUCUAAGAGUAUAGCCAAAAUCCUUGACAUCCAUAUUACUAAGAAAAGAGUUUCAUUGUCACAUGAUUUCCAAUGCAUUGGAUUGAAAAAAAUAAGAAUUAACCUGAAGCAUUUAUUGUGCAACCACAUUCUCCAUUGAAUUGAACAAAAAAAACGUCUUCAAGUGAAUGACUCUGAUACCAAAUGAAACAGGAGAAUAAUCGCAUACAUUUUUUUUUUCAUUUCAUCUUAUUAAAUGGAUAUUACAUUAGGUCAUGAACACUGUAUAAGAGAAAAAAAAUAUAUAUCACAUCCUCUUUUGAUGGGAUUCAAACAAUAACCUUGUGAUAAAAGGAAAAUAAGAAAAUAACAAGCUUUUAAGUACAAUUAAUGGGAUUAAACAGGAUUAAAAAAAAAAUCUCAUAUCACAUAUAUUAAUGAUAGAUUUUUCUUUGAAACAUAGAACAUAAAUUUUAUUCUUGGAACCUACUAUCAUAUGCCUAUUUUAGAAUUUUAGAACAUGAACUAGGAAAAGGCCUUUCUUCGUUUUGGCAUUUCUUAGUUGUUUCCAUCAUGUAAAUUAUUUAAAAGACAAAUAUAAUAAGUGAAAUACAACUUGGCAAGCAUAUUUCAGUUAGUCGAUCCUUUAGUAAUGAGAGAAAAUAACAAAGCUAGGAAGAGCAAACAGAAAAAAAGAAAAAAAGAAAAAGCCAUCACUACAUCUAGCUCAUAGGCAGGCCGGAUUAGCUCCAUAGAAUAGAGCUGUGCACAUUACUUGGAACAAUUAAUACAUUUUCAUUUUUUACUUUCUAAUUUAAUUUUGUUAUGGUGCUUUUAGUAGAGUUGGAGCCAUUUUUCCCUUUCUUCUAUUCGCAGCCUAUAUUAAUUAGGUGCUCAGGUUAGCAACAGAGAAGCCCUUGUUUCUUCCUGGUAAUUGUAACACUUCCUUUGUGAUGAACUUUUUCAGGUGUAUUCUGGUGGAUGAGAAUGAUGGUCUUGUCGGUCAUGAUACCAAAUACAGUUGUUGUAAGUAAGAUUUCUAUGUUGCCAAUUACAAGCUAAUACAGUCACUAAUUUUGAUACAAUCAAAUUCUUGAUACAAUCUCCAAGACAAACCAUAUACAUGAUCAACAAAGGGAGCGUGGACAAUUUAAAUUCGACACUAGCUAGGUUUAAAGGUCUUGCUAAUUAACAGCUACUGAUACCAGGAACUCUGACACUAAAGUCCAUGUAAAAUCAGGUGUGCACCAUAUUGGGGUUGUACAGUUAUAACAUUAAAAGGUGCAUGAGCAUAAGAUGGGGAAAGUUCAAAUGAGAAACGCUGUAAGAUCAUUGCCAAAGCCAUUUUUGCUUCCAUCAUUGCAAAAUUUUGUCCAAUGCACGCCCGAGGACCAUAACCAAAUGGAAAAAAGGCAAAUUGGCCGCCCUUU
RNAcentral lists this long non-coding RNA (59945 nucleotides) under Vitis vinifera (wine grape). RNAcentral describes it as "long non-coding RNA (VVIN_LNC006621)". Lineage: Eukaryota; Viridiplantae; Streptophyta; Magnoliopsida; Vitales; Vitaceae. The record is from RNAcentral.